UCAACUAAGUGUAUUCGAUCAUACGCUAUUCUAUUCAAGGUCUACCUAAAUCUCCUUUGUUAAGGUUUAACUUAGAUUUCCAAUUCAAUUUAAUUGGUGGCCAGUUAACUAAAAGCAUUAAGAAUAAAAUAAAAUAAACAACUUAAAUCAAUCAAACAUAAUCAAAAGAAAGAUAAAUAAUUCAAACUACUUAUUGAGUUCAAUCAUAAUCUUAGAUUAACAAUUUAGUUCCCUAUCAAGUCACACAUCAUCAUUGAAUAAAGUUUAAACAUUAAAAACAAAACCAAGAAAAUAAGAGAAUAAAAGAAAAGAUAGAAAAGCUCAAGAGUUGUAUUCUUGAUCUCUAAAUCUCCUUGAAUCCUUUAAAUUCUUCUUAGCUUCAAUGACUCUGUGGCUUGACUCUCAGUUGUUAAUCUGGUGUUUUUCUCUUCUUCUCUAAAAUAUUGUUUUUAUAGGCUUUGAUGUUAGGCCAAGUUGGGUGGAGAAAGAAGUCAAUUUCAGCUAGGAUUUCCUCAUCAGACUAUGUGAGUCACAGCCUUGCCUAAUUAAUUAACCGAAAUCAUAAUUGCUCUAGGACUGCUAUAGUGCAUUAACUUUGACAAGAGUUUUGACUACCUUUCAACCCGAACUGGGUGAAGUAGUAACAUGAAAAUUGCAGCUUUUUCUCUUAUCUUUCCAAUGGUUUAAAAAUUGCUUCAUUAGAAGCUCUGUAGAGAAGGUUAUGGCUAAAAUACCAAAAUAUGUGUAGUACAAGUUUGCACCAUGAAAUUGCUCUCCUUCUUUUACUAGAAUUCUUCUUUUAUCAAAUACCUAAAAAAGCACAAAUAAAUCAAUAACAAUCUAUCUUAACCAUUUUAACAUCAAAUUAAGCAUAAAAUUAACCAUGAUUAGAUUGACUCACCUAAAAUAACUAAUUUAAAAUAAUUAAAUAAAACCUAUUAAUUUUUAUGCAUUACUACAAGAACUACGUUAAUUUAUUAUGAAAAUUGAACCUAAAUAAUUUUAUAUCAUAGAGUUAUCACACCCUCAAACUUAAUAUUUUGCUAUUCCUCAAGCAAAACAUAGAAAAGAAACUAACUUACGAAAAUCAAAUUCAGUUAAAGAAAACUAAAAUAAAUAUAGUUACUACUACUACUACUACUACUACUAUUACCACUAUUACUACUACUACUACUACUACUACUACUCAUAUUACUACUACUACUAGAGAUAAAGUGCACCAACUUAAUGAUUCCUAUAAUUUCCUCAAAAGUAUGUCUAUCAAUCAUUAACCUAAGGAAAAAUGUAGGCAUCAAUUAAAUUCAUGUUUCACUUCUAAUGCAAGCAGAUUCUCGAAUGGAUUUUCGUGUGUGGGUGUAAUAUUUUAUCAAGAACAUCAUGACAUCCGGAUAAGUUUGUGCCAACACAAAUUUCAAAUUAGUACUAGAUUUUUGUAGGGUUACUUUUCAUCUCUCUCUCCAUUAAUGUAGACUAAUACAAAGCUAGGGAUCUAUAGGACUUUAUAAAGCUUGUAAUGCAUGGCUAAAGUCAAGGUAUGGUAAAGGAUAUUAAUGUGGCUAAAAUCACCCUAAGCACAUAAUUAUUCUAGGACCUAUAUAUAGAGCUCUAUUUUCCUUCUACAAGUACACAUUUUCUUCCACAUUUGAUAUUUUCUCUCAUUCAACACACCUUUUUUUUUCACAAUUUCACAACCCUAAACUUAUUUUCUUUAUAUUGUAGGUAGUGGGGUUAUUUUUCAUAUUUUGAACUUCUUUUUUCACAUCAACAUCACCUUUCCACCUUUUUCGACAUUCAGAUCAAUUUAUAUUUCCUAAAACAAUAUACAUGCUGAGGAGUGAGGGUUGCAAAAUUGAAAAAUUAAUUUUAAGGCUAAACUCAAUUAUUAUGUAGUUAAACAAAGAAAAGGGAAAUUAGGCUCAAAAAAGGUAUACUAGGGAUAAAAAUUUAACAAGGUUGGCUUUUUAGGCUCAAACGGUCUAAUGAUGGUCUAAAUCAUGUCCUGAACUAAGUAUUGCCUAGGAUUUCACCUCGAGAGAAAAUCAAGCAAAUUCUAGAAUUCAUGACAUAAUCUAAAUUUUACAUCAAUAUAAACUUUCUCUAUAUAUUCGAAUAAUUCAAAGCAAAAGAUCUAGUGCUCAAAAUUGUGGAAAUCACAUUCUAACGAUAAUACUUAACAAAAGAUUUAGCAUGAAUCCAAACAAAAACCUUAUUCACCAAAAGCUAAAAUUUCAAGACAAUUAGUUAUCAUCAUUGAAUAGAGAAAUCAUCGAAAAAAUUGGCAUAACUUUACUCUAGAUUCCUAAAAUUCAAACAAGAGAUAAAUUCCUUUACCAACUAAUCAUAAAUUAUUUAUAAAUCUAGAUAAACAUGAAAAUUAAAUUAAAUUUAAAACUUUCACUGAAUAUUCACCACUAGACAAAUAAAUUCACCCCCUCAAACUUAAAUUAAACAUUGUUCUCAAUGUUAGAAAAAAGAAAGGAAAGGUAAUGAAUACUCCCCUGAUGAUUGGAUAAAUUUUGGAGAAGCUCUAAUUCUCCUCCUUGUCCUUAUCAUCUUUAUUGUCACUUAAAGGAAAUUUUUUUUUCACUACAAAAAAAAUAGAUAAAGAUUAAUGUAGAGAAAUAAAAUAAAUAAUAAAUAAAAAUAAUUGAAAAAAAAAUAAAUAAAGAAAAGGGUUUUUGUUGGGUAAUGGGCUAGUGGGCUGCCCAUUGUUGGCAGCCCAUAAAAGGGGUUCUAGUAAGUGGGUAAUGGAUAAAUGGGUAAACGGGUAAGUGGGCUACUGGGUAAAUAGGUAAGUGGGCUAUGGGUAAUGGGCUUCUGGGUAAAUUGGUAAUGGGUAAUGGGUAGUGGACUAGUGGGCAAAUGGGUAAGUGGGCUACUGGGUAAAUGGGUAAGUGGCCUAUGAGUAAUGGGCUGCUAGGUAAAUUGGUAGUGGGGUGGCCCUUUUUUUUUUUUAUUUUAACAGAGUCACGGCUUCGAGCCUAGUGAGCCGCGGCUCACAUUAUUUUAUGUCUGGGAAGCUACGACAUCGCUUAGUGGGAGUCGCGACUUACCGCCCUUUCUACUUCUUUUUUUUUUUGCAUUUUUUUAUUUUUUUGAAAUAUUUUUUUUAAGAAAAUUUUUUUUUGAAAUAUUAUUUUUUUAUAUAUUUUUUUAAAAAAUUUGAAUUUUUUUUAUAUGAACCUGCACAAAUAAAAGAGAUUGUUAAUAAUUUAAUAGUUAAAUAAAUAAAAUAAACAUAAAUAAAAAAAAGUAAGUUAGAGUGCUUGGGUUACCUCCCAAGAAGCGUUUCUUUAUAGUCACUAGCUUAAGUAUGGUACCCCAUUCUACACUACUUUAUAUGACUUGAGACUUUCUUUAUUGACCUUGACUGCUCCGGUAAGUCCAUUAUAAAUCUUGAUAACAUCAUAAGGAUGAAUCUCUACCACCUUAAAAGUGUUCCCCUAAUAUGGUCUAAGAUUCGAUAAGAUGGAGUUGUGAAUAAGAAAAUACUACGCGCUGUCCAACCACAAAAUCAAAAUAGCUAGAAAGUGGUGGUGGUUUUGUCUCAAGAGUUGGCACCUGCAUUGUUAAAGGUGGUGGAAUAGGCUUACCUUUACCUUCAUUGACUAAAUCCACUUUAUAUCAACUAUCUGUAUAGGGAUACUAAGUUGCAUUGAACAAAUUAAAUACCACUUCCUCGUCUCCAACUCUAAAAGUUAUUUUUCCAUUCUUCACAUCAAUAAUUGCUCCAACUGUAACUAAGAAUGGUCCUCCCAAAAUAAAAGGAAUUUCAACAUCAUCUUCAAUCUUGAGCAUAAUGAAGUCCAUAAGAAUGUAUAAAUGCCUAACUUUAAGCAAAAUAUCCUCUAUAAUCUCUACUGGGUGCCUAAUUGUUCUAUCUGGUAAUUGCAAGGUAACUAUCAUAGGUUGUAUCUUUGAAAUCCAAGUUUCUUGGCAAUUGACAAAGGGAUUAUUGAAAUACUAGCACUUAAAUCACAUAAAGCUUUAGAAAUUUUAAAAGUACCAAUAGUGCAAGGAAUAGAAAAACUCUCUGGAUCUUUAAGCUUUGGUGGAAGCUUAUUCUAGAUUAUAGCACUACACUCUUCAGUAAGUGCAACAAUCUCAAACUCUUCCAAUUUCCUUUUUUUGGUCAAGAUGUCUUUCAAGAAUUUAAGAUAACUUGGCAUUUGUUUUAAAGCUUCAGCGAAGGGAAUAUUAAUGUGUAGUUUUUUAAAUACCUCAAGAAAUCUCUGGAAUUGUUUUUCAAGUUUUUGCUUUUGAAAACGUUAAAGAAAAGGUGGUGGAGGUGCAGGAGUGGAUUAUGAUUUUUUUUUUGAAUUUUCAGUAGAUUUUUCAACCACAAUUUCCUUUUCAGCAUUUUUUUCAAUGUCUUUCCCAGUAGAUUGAAUGGAAAUCUUAGAAUUUAACGAUUGAUUACUUACCUAUUUACGUACCUCUUUUCCAUUGCGGAGAGUGAUUGCCAUACAAUGUUUCUUACUUUCUCUUCUUUGGUUGGGUUCAGUAUCACUUAGUAAGGUACCAUGCGGUCUAGUAUUCAAGGCACUGGCAAGUUGGCCUAUUUGUAUCUCAAGAUUUCUAAUUGAAGUUGCUUGAUUUUGAAUGGAGGCAUCAAUCUUUAUCCUAAAUGCAUCUGUCUUUGUUAUGAAUGCAUCAGUUUUUGUCAUGAAUGCAUCAGUCUUUGUCAUGAACUGCAUAAACAUAUCCUCCGUUGAAGGCUUUUUCUUUGGCAUAGGGAUUCUAGAUGGAAAUCCAGGAGGAAAGUUUAACUUAGCCACUGAUGAAAAGCCUUGGUUGUUAUUCCAUGACAAAUUAGGUGUUGGCUCCAUUAGUUUUUGAUGAUAGUAAAACAUUCCCAUUCAUUUGUGUCUAAUACCUUUACUUAAGUGUGCAGGAAAAUUAAUGUAUGAAAUUAAUAAAUCAAUCUUUCAAACUGUAUAUUAAAAGAAAAAGGGAGAUAAAAAUAAUGAGACAUGAUUGAUUAACAAAGAGGAAGCUCAUUAGUUGAAUAAGGAAGAAUUUUGGUCGACCAAGAUUCAAAUUGGAGAAAUGAUGGGCUGAAGAGUUUGAAGAAUAGAGACAAUUUAGUCAACCAAGAAAAUGGACUAGUCAACUAAGUGCUUACUAUCAGAACUACCAGAGACAGGGAGCAGAACAUAGAGACAACCUAGUCAACUAAGAUAUCAAAUAGUCGACUAAGAGCAUUCUAUCUGCAAGUUUUAAAUCUGCACUAAAAGAUAGAGUAACGGCUAGAAUUGACUCUCAACUGUCUCCAACGACUAAAAAACUUUCAAACUACCACUAGAGAUGUUUCUCCAAGUAUAAAAGGGUCUUCCAACAAUUAGAAGGAAGUUUUUAAAGUUUAGAGAGAAGAUUUAAGCCUUAUAGAGCAAAAAAUCAUAAAAUAUUCUCUGCACUUUGCAGCACUCAAACGAUCAUCUUUUGUACUUGUAUUUUGCACUCAACCUUGUACCAUUUAGAUCAACUUGUGAUCAUAGGUACUUUCUUCUACCUUUUUUAUUUUAUUUUUAGAGUGAGGGAGUCACUCUAAGAGGUUGUUUCAAGCUCGGUGUGCUUGAAGGUGUUAAGGUUCUAACUUAGCCUUGAAAAGUUAGGUGUUGGAUUUUAGUUUAGCUUGUGAAAAACUAGUGUAAAAGGUUUUGGCUGAGCCUUGUAAAAGCCAUUGUAAAGCUUAGUGAAAGCUUGUGAAUUUCAUCAGUUCUCAGUGGAUUUGUUGGAAAAAUCCUUGGUUGGAUAAUCAAGGUAGUGGAUGUAGGUUUUAGACCAAACCAAUAUAAAUUGCUGUGCAUUGUUCUCUGUUUUUAUUUUCUUUGUUCUGAAAAUUAGUUCUUUGUCAAAAGUCGAUUUGUGCUGUUCACCUUGUGAGACCCCAACCUCUAUAGGCUUGUAACUAAGCAUAGAUGUAAAAAUACGAGCCAGGGGUAGUUUCAUCAUUUUCUCUAAUAAGCUCCCAAAAGAAAUUUUUAUAAUAUUUUAAGGUCUAAAUAGGAAUAAGACUGUAUAAAUGACAUGUAUUGAUGAAAACAUGAAGAAAACUAGAAAUGACAAUAAUUUUUCACAAUAGGGGUAAAAUGGUCAUUUUGCACUCGAGUCAAAACUUUUAAAAGUUUCGCAAACCUGAACAUGUCUAGACCAUUAUGGACUUGGUCGUAGUGUUAAAGAGUAAAAAGAUUGCACAAAGGGUUGCAUGAGAACAAGCUAACUAGUCAAGAGCAUUGUCAUAACUUUAAAGGAAUGGAUAAGUUUGGCCUAUAAAUAUCCUUCUUCUAGUAGCUUCUUCUCCCAUUUUCCAACAUCUUGUCUUCUUCUUCCUUCUUCCCUCUCACGUUUCUUUAAAACCUCCAUGGAAGCUUGAUAUGGAGCUUACAUAAUUUUCUCUCUCUAGCUUUAAUUUUCAUACCCUUGUGCCCUUUUGACUAGAACCCUUGUAUUCUUUCACUAUUUCACUCUUUCUCUUCAAAACCCUUAGUAAAGCUUAUUUACAUACUUUCUCUCACUAGUUGGGCAUUCUAGAAAGAGAAAGAGAGAAUUACCCCAUUUGUUUGGAAGCUAUUGGAAGGGAAUUGAACUACAAAGAAAGCCAAGGGUGAGUACUGAACUAAGCUCGAUUUUUAAUAGUAGAAAAUGGCUAGUAAUUAGGAUUAUGAGCUAUUUUAUUGUUAAGGAUGUUCAUUCAUUUUAUAGUAAUUAUGAUAGUGAACAUAGAUAGCCAUUUAAAGUGGCAAUUGAAAGCUAGCUAAGAGAUAGCUUUUAGGGUUUAUAUUAUGUGAAUUAACAUAAUGGUGAUGUUAAUGUAAUGGUAGGUUCCAAUGAAGUUCCAUCCUUCCGUUUGGACAAUUAGAGAAAGAGUCGGUUAAAGGCUUAACAAAAAACCAGUGAGUGAACUACAUUCAAAACUUGUUUCGGGGAUAUAAUGUAUUUGCCAAACAUUUGAAUGAAUUAUCAAGCUUUUCAUAAAAACAAGUGCCUUGGGAACAAGCUUUUGAUAGAUUGUCUCCAUGUUGUGACAUGUGACUAUUAUUGAUUCAUGCAUUACCACAUUGUGUUGAUAUAUAUCUAUGUGAAUACAUUGUUGUGUAAUGAUAUUGACCCGGCUAUGAGCGAGUAGGGAGAACGCAUAACCCGGUGAUGACCUAGCCAUGUGCGAGUAGGGAGUGAGCAUGAGCUGAGAAUGAUGGGAUGGUAUGCAUGAUGGUGAUGGGUAUAUGUAUAUGUAUAAAUACGUAAACAUGUGUGUUAUAAGAAAUUUAUGAGUUAUGUAUAUGGAUGUAAUGUAUAUGAAAUUCGGUAUGUUAAACUUUGGGAAGUUGUUAUGUAUUUCUUAUUGGUUUUGAACAUUUCAACAGGGUGGCUUUCUUUGGGAGAAAGGGAAAUUUUUCAUUGGUGCCUGUAUCUCGCUGCAACGAGAAACUCUCGGGUUUGAGAGCUUUCACUAGAACUGAUUCUUGCUGCAACGAGAUAGUCACUGUAGCUUUUCGCUGCAGCGAGAAACUCUUUGUUUCAUCAGUCGAAUUUUGCUACAGCAAGAAAAAAUCUCGCUGUAGUGAGAAACCUUCUGUCCAUUUUGCUAUCUUGUGGGGUUUUGCCAUAUUUUUCCAUUUCAUUUAUACCCUAGUGGAGCAUAGACUUCCAACAUGUUUGGGGAUUAUUUAACUAAGUUUGAAAUGAGGAAAUUUUGAGAGAAACCCUCAUUCGGCUAAUAACUUAAAUCCCAACAUUGCUGCAACAAAAAUUCAUUCUCGUCGUCGCAUUUGACUUGUUGGUGUAUCGCUGAAGCCUUCAUUUUUCAAAUUAUUGGUUAUGUAUGGGUUCCUCAUUACCAAGUGAUUGAUCAUAUAAGGGUUUAAUGAGGGGUUUUUAAUAUGAAUGAAAUUAAGUUGCAUUGUUUUAAAACAAGUGCAUCAUGAUUUUAAAUUAUUCCUUAUGGUAUGCUUGUUCCCUUCCUUGUUCACUCACUAGGUUUAUACUUACCAGUUUUAAACUUCAUGUUUACAAAUCGAGAGGCAGCCGGUAACUAGGACGAGGUGUCCUCGUAGACUUGUAACCAUCUUUUGGUAGGUGUCUCGGCAUUCAGUAGCUGUACAUUCGUCCGAGUCUCUCCGCUAAAAGUCGAGUAUUAUUUUGUUCUGUAUAGACGAACCUAAUGUAAAUUGUUAAGAUACAUAUUGUAGACAAUGUAUAUAUAUUUGUUUGGUAUGCCAGUAUGAGAUGGCAAUGUGUAGAAUUAUUUUGAUUCUAAGUUAUGAAAUGUGACUUAGCAGUUUAUGACGGAAUGAUAAACAUGUCAGAUUAAUAGGCUUGCUUGGGCUUAGUGGAUUACGUCCAUUGGGCCCAUCCACCGAUCAUGGCCCUGAAUUUGGGUAAUGACAAAGUUGGUAUCAGAGCUCUAGGUUUGUCUAGGUCCUAGGACUUCUUUUUGUUGGUCCAGCAGAGAGUCGGGUCUUUAUGUGGGAAUUUUGGUUAUGAAGUGUGAACCGCGGCAUAUUUUACAACCAAAUAACCACAUAGAUUCCCUCUCUUAGAAACCACCUUUUAUCUUGAGUAUGAUUAUAAAAUGUGUUUAAUAAUAGGUGUUUGCUUUUAUCUAGGUAAGAAUGCCGCCUAAGACACAAGCCGCCUCAAGACGGAUGGGGGAGCAAGAUGCUCCUAUUGAGAUGGCAGGUAGGCCACGGGCAUCCACCCAGAGAAGCCGAGGUAGACGUGGCAAGGCCACUAGGCCGGUGAGGGUGGAUACGCCUGUGAGUGGGCGAGAGGAAGGACAGUCCUCAGGUGAUGUAGAUAGACACCCAGCUCGGGGUAUUACCAUUGAGGAUUUGGCGGCAAGCCUACAGAGAGUCAACCGGGUUGUAGAGAUGAUGGCGACCCGUAUGAAGGAUAUACAGAGGGUAGUAGAGGGGAGAGCUACAGUACAAGAAUCCCUAGCUCCCAAGGACAGGUCGAUCGCCAACAUCGUGAGGUUGAGAGGGGUCACUUAGAGAUUUCUCUUCCCGAUUUAUUUAAGCUUAAGCUUCCAUCAUUUUCAGGGUCUAAUGCAUCAGAGAAACCCUAGGUUUUCUUAGAUAAGAUGGAGAAGAUUUAUAAAGCUUUGGGAUGUUCUAGUGUUCGAUCAAUUGAGCUAGCCGCUUUUCGAUUAGAGGACGUGGCGUAGGAGUGGUAUAGCUCUUUGUGUAUAGGCAGACCGAUGGAUGCAGCACCGUUGGCUUAAAGUGAGUUCAGUGCAGCCUUCUUGGAUCAAUUCUUACCACUCAGUGUACGUAAUGCCAAAACCAGAGAGUUUGAGACUCUAGUACAGACCUCGAAUAUGACGGUGUUCGAGUAUGACAUCAAAUUUACGCAGUUGGCUAGCUAUGCACCCUAUCUCAUUUCUACUAAGGAGAUGAAGAUUCAGAGGUUUAUGGAUGGGCUAGUGGAGCCAUUAUUUAGGGCUGUGGCAUCCUGAGAUUUCACUACCUAUUAUGCAGUAGUGGAUUAUGCUCAGCGCAUUGAGAUGAGGACCAAUGAGAGUAGGGUUGCGAGGGAUAGAGCAAAAAGGGUCAGAAUAGAAGGUUAUCAAGGCCGUAAAGAUUUUAGUAGUGGUGUUUCAUCUUCUAGCCGUCAGGGUACACAGAAGGACUCACAAUUGCCCUAGAGGGGGAGUGACUCGCCUGGUGCUAAUAUUGGGAUGGGAUGGAGAACCUUUAGUUCUAGGAGGCGGCAAAAUUCUAGACAGGGUAGUCAAGUCACCCACCCUUGUGAUACUUGCGGGAGACGACAUAGUGGACGAUGCUUCCUUACUACAAGAGUUUGUUUCAGGUGUGGUCAACUUGGGCAUAUUAUGAGGGAUUGUACGAUGGCUCAUCAAUCACAAGAUUCUGCUCGUGGUUCCACCCAACCAACUUCAUCUGCUCCUUCAGUAGCCUCCUCAUCUGACCGAGAGGGUAGCGGAUCUAAAGGUAGAGGUGCUGGUAAUUCCUCUCAGGGCAGGCCAUCUAGGUCCGGAUGUCAGAGUUCCAUUGGUAGAGGCCAAGCAAGGGUGUUUGCUAUAACACAACCGGAGACCCAGACAUCUAAUGCAGUGGUCUCAAGUAUUCUCUCAGUUUGUAAUAUGAAUGCUAGGGUACUAUUUGAUCCUAGUGCUACCCAUUCUUUUUUCUCUCCAUGUUUUGCAUCUCGAUUGGGUAGAGAUCGUGUAAGGAGAGAGGAACAAUUAGUGGUGUCUACUCCUUUAAAGGAAGUAUUUGUGGUCGAAUGGGAAUAUGAGUCUUGUGUAGUGCGAGUCAAGGACAAAGACACUUCGGUGAAUCUAGUGGUGCUAGACACCUUAGACUUUAAUGUGAUCUUGGGGAUGGAUUAGUUAUCACCCUACCAUGCUAGUGUGGACUGAUAUCAUAAAUUGGUUAGAUUUGAUUUCCCCGGUGAACCAUCAUUUAGUAUUCAAGGGGAUAGGAGUGACGCUCCAACCAAUUUGAUAUCGGCCAUAUCUGCCAGAAGAUUAUUACGACAAGGUUGUAUAGGUUACUUGGCUGUUGUAAGGGAUACUCAGGCGAAGGUUGGAGAUGUAAGUUAAGUAUCGGUGGUGAAAAAGUUCGUGGAUUUAUUUUCUGAGGAGCUACCAGGUUUGCCCCCCGAACGGGAGAUUGAGUUUUGCAUAGAUUUGAUUCCCGACACUAGACCUAUAUCCAUACCCCCAUAUAGAAUGGCACUUGCAGAGCUUAAAAAGCUUAAGGAUCAAUUAGAAGAUUUAUUGGAUAAAGGCUUCAUCCGAACUAGUGUGUCCCCAUGGGGAGCACCGGUGAUAUUUGUAAAGAAGAAAGACAGGUCACUUAGGCCGUGCAUUGACUAUCGACAGCUUAAUAAAGUGACAGUGAAGAAUAAGUAUCCUCUCCCAAGAAUAGAUGAUUUAUUUGAUCAACUACAAGGAGCACAAUGUUUCUCUAAGAUAGAUUUGCGAUUUGGGUACCAUCAAUUGAGGAUCCGGAAUGAAGAUAUACCCAAGACUGCAUUUCGAACCAGAUAUGGGCACUAUGAGUUUUUGGUGAUGUCAUUUGGGCUCACGAAUGCUCUUGCAGCCUUUAUAGAUUUGAUGAACUGAGUGUUCAAGCUUUAUUUGGACAAGUUCAUGGUAGUGUUUAUUGAUGAUAUCUUGAUCUACUCGAGGAGUAGGGAGGAGCAUGAGCAACAUCUUAAGAUAGUGCUCCAAAUUUUGAGAGAACAUCAAUUAUAUGCCAAGUUCUCCAAGUGAGAUCUGGCUUGAAAGCAUUGCAUUCUUGGGACAUGUGGUAUCUAAGGAUAGGGCACAAGUUGAUUCAAAGAAAGUUGAAGUAGUGGAAAAAUGGCCAAGGCCAACAUUAGUUACGGAGAUUACAAGCUUUAUGGGUUUGGCUGGCUAUUAUCGUCGCUUUGUGAAAGACUUCUCCAAAAUAGUCACUCCUCUGACUAAGCUAACACAUAAGGACACAAAAUUUGAGUGGUCUGAUCCUUGUUAGGAUAGCUUUGAGAAGCUUAAGGCAUGUCUCACCACAGCUUCAGUGUUAAGCCUACCUCAAGGCAUGGGGGCUUAUACGGUAUUUUGUGAUGCAUCGCAUGUUGGUUUAGGGUGUGUAUUAAUGCAACGUGGGAAGGUGAUUGCGUAUGCAUCCAGGCAACUUAAAAGGCAUGAGCAAAAUUACCCCGCACAUGAAUUGGAAAUGGCAGCGAUCUUGUUUGCCUUAAAGAUUUGAAGGCAUUACUUGUAUGGUGAGACUUGCGAGAUAUAUACAGACCACAAAAGUUUAAAGUACAUAUUUCAGCAGAGGGAUCUUAACUUACGGCAAUGUAGAUGGAUGGAGUUUCUAAAGGAUUAUGAUUGUACUAUUCUUUACCAUCCCGGUAAGGCCAAUGUAGUGGCGGAUGCCUUGAGUAGAAAAUCAAUGGGAAGCUUGGCACAUAUUUCUACAGAUAGGAGAUCUUUGGUUAGGGAGAUUCAUAGCUUGGGAGACAUGGGUGUGCAUUUGGAAGUUGUGGAAACAAAUGCAUUGCUAGCACAUUUUAGAGUACGGCCUAUUUUAGUGGACAAGAUCAAAGAAGCAUAAAGUAAAGAUGAGUUUAUGGCUAAGGCUUUAGAGGAUCUUCAGGGAAAGAAAGGAAAAAUGUUUACCAAAGGCACAAAUGGAGUGUUGAGGUAUGGAACCAGACUUUAUGUGCCUGAUGCUGACGGGUUGAGGAGAUAAAUAUUGGAAGAAGCUCACAUGGCAGCUUAUGUGGUACAUCCAGGGGCUACAAAGAUGUAUCAAGAUUUGAAAGAGGUGUAUUGGUGGGAAGGACUUAAAAAAGAUGUAGUUGAGUUUGUCUCCAAGUGUUUGGUCUGUCAACAGGUUAAGGCUGAGCAUCAAAAGCUUGUAGGGCUACUACAACCAUUCCCAGUACCCGAGUGGAAGUGGGAGCAUAUUGCUAUGGACUUUGUAGCAACUUUGCCUCAAACUAGUGGGGGAUAUGAUUCAAUUUGGAUAGUAGUAGAUCGAUUAACAAAGUCAACCCAUUUUCUUCCGAUUAAGACUACUUACAGGGCUACCCAAUACGCUCGAGUUUAUGUGGAUGAGAUAGUACGACUGCAUGGUAUCCCCAUUUCUAUAGUAUCUGACAGAGGAGCUUAGUUUACUAGUAGGUUUUGGGGAAAGUUGCUGGAAGCAUUGGGCACUAAGUUGGAUUUCAGCACAACUUUCCACGCUCAGACUGAUGGAUAGUCUGAACGAACCAUACAAACAUUGGAGGAUAUGUUGAGGGCUUGUGUGAUAGACCUUGGGGUCAGGUGGGAUCAAUAUCUACCCUUAGUGGAAUUUGCCUACAACAAUAGUUUCCAAUCUAGCAUUCAAAUGGCACCAUUUGAGGCAUUAUAUGGACAGAGGUGCAGGUCACCCAUUGGAUGGCUAGAGGUGGCAGAAAGGAAACUUUUGGGGCCUGAGUUGGUGCAGGAUGCAAUCGACAAAAUACGCAUGAUUCGGCAGCAGAUGUUAACAGCACAAAGUAGACAGAAAUCAUAUGCUGAUAACCGACAGAGAGACUUGGAGUUCCAAGUAGGAGAUCACGUAUUUUUAAAAGUUUUGCCAACUAAAGGGGUAAUGAGGUUUGGCAAGAAAGGGAAGUUAAGUCCUUGGUAUAUAGGACCCUUCGAGAUCUUAGAAAGGGUUGGAGCAGUGGCAUAUCGUUUGGCAUUACCGCCAGACCUUUCGAAUAUUCACCUUAUGUUUCAUGUGUCCAUGCUUAGGAAGUACAACCCAGAUCCAUCACAUGUAAUACAAAAUGAAACCAUUCAGUUGCAAGAUGAUCUAACUUAUGAGGAGCAACCGGUAGCUAUCCUUGGUAGGCAUGUUAAAAAGCUCCAUACGAAGGAUGUAGCCUCAGUGAAAGUAUUGUGGCGAAACCACACUAGUGAAGAGGUAACGUGGGAAACCAAGGAGGACAUGCGAACCAAAUAUUCACACCUCUUUGAUACUUAGAGGUACGUUAUCUUAUAGUUGAAUUUAAAUUCGGGGACCGAAUUUCUUUAAGUGGGGGAGAAUGUGAGACCCCAACCUCUAUAGGCUUGUAACUAAGCAUAGAUGUAAUAAUACGAGCUAAGGGUAGUUUCGUCAUUUUCUCUAAUAAGCUCUCAAAAGAAAGUUUUAUGAUAUUUUAAGGUCUAAAUAGGCAUAAGACUGCAUAAAUGACUUGUAAUGAUGAAAACACGAAGAAAACUAGAAAUGAUAAUAAUUGUUCACAACCGGGGCAAAAUGGUCAUUUUGUAACUGAGUCAAAACUUUUAAAAGUUUCGCAAACCUGAACAUGUCUAGACCAUUAUGGACUUGGUCUUAGUGUUAAAGAGUAAAAAGAUUGCACAAAUGGUUGCAUGAGAACAAGCUAACUAGUCAAGGGUAUUUUCAUAAUUUUACGGGAAUGGAUAAGUUUGGCCUAUCAAUAUCCUUCUUCCAGCAGCUUCUUCUCCCAUUUUCCAGCAGCUUGUCUUCUUCUUCCUUCUUCCCUCUCACAUUUCUUUAAAACCUCCAUGGAAGCUUGAUAUUGAGCUUGCAUAAUUUUCUCUUUCUAGCUUUAAUUUUCAUACCCUUGUGCCCUUUUGACUAGAACCCUUGUAUUCUUUCACUCUCUCACUUCAAAACCCUUGGUAAAGCUUGUUUCCAUACUUUCUCUCACUAUCUGGGCAUUUUAGAGAGAGAAAGAGAGAAUUACCCCAUUUGUUUGAAAGCUAUUGGAAGGGAAUUCAACUACAAAGAAACCCAAGGGUGAGUGAUGAACUAAGCUCGAUUUUUAGCUGCAGAAAAUGGCUAGUAAUUGGGAUUAUGAGCUGUUUUAUUGUUAAGGAUGUUCAUUCAUUUUAUAAUAAUUAAGAUAGUGAACAUAGAUAGCCAUUUAAAGUGGCAAUUGAAAGCUAGCUAAGAGAUAGCUUUUAGGGUUUAUAUUAUGUGAAUUAACAUAAUGGUGAUGUUAAUGUAAUGGUAGGUUCCAACGAAGUUCCAUCCUUCCGUUUGGACAAUUAGAGAAAUUAGAGUCGGUUAAAGGCUCAACAAAAUACCAGUGAGUGAACUGCAUUCAAAACUUGUUUUAGGGAUAUAAUGUAUUUGCCAAACAUUUGAAUGAAUUAUCAAGCUUUCAUAAAAACAAGUGCCUUGGGAACAAGCUUUUGAUAGAUUGUCUCCAUGUUGUGACAUGUGACUAUUAUUGAUUCAUGCAUUACCACAUUGUGUUGAUAUAUAUAUAUAUAUAUGUGAAUACAUUGUUGUGUAAUGAUAUUGACUCGACUAUGAGCAAGUAAGGAAAGCGCAUAACCCGGUGAUGACCUAGCCAUGUGCGAGUAGGGAGUGCGCAUGAGCUGGGAAUGAUGGGAUGGUGUGCAUGAUGGUGAUGGGUAUAUGUAUAUGUAUACAUACGUAAACAUGUGUAUUAUAAGAAAUUUAUGAGUUAUGUAUAUGGAUGUAAUGUAUGUGAAAUUCGAUAUGUUAAACUUUGGGAAGUUGUUUUGUAUUUCUUAUUGGUUUUGAACAUUUCAGCAGGGUGGUUUUCUUUGGGAGAAUAGGAAAUUUUUCAUUUGUGCCCUGUAUCUCGCUGCAGUGAGAAACUCUUGGGUUUGAGAGCCUUCACUAGAACUAGUUCUCGCUAUAGCAAGAAUGAAUCUCGCUGAAGCGAGAUAGUAACUGCAGUGAAAAGGAAUCUUGCUGCAGUGAAAAGGAAUCUCGCUACAAAGAGAACUCUCUAUUUCAUCAGUUGAAUUCACUGCAGCGAGAAAGAAUCUCGCUGCAGCGAGAAACCUUCGUUCCAUUUUGCUAUCUCGUGGGGUUUUGCCAUAUUUUUCCAUUUCAUUUACACCCUAGUAGAGCAUGGACUUCCAACAUGUUUGGGGAUUAUCUAACUAAGUUUGAAAUGAGGAAAUUUUGAGAGAAACCCUCGUUCGACUAAUAACUUAAAUCCCAACGUCGCUGCAGCAAAAAUUCAUUCUCGUCGUCGCAUUUGACUUGUUAGUGUAUCAUUGAAGCCUUCAUCUUUUAAAUUAUUGGUUAUGUAUGGGUUCCUCAUUACCAAGUGACUAAUCAUAUAAGGGUUUAAUGAGGGGUUUUUAAUAUGAAUGAAAUUAAGUUGCAUUGUUUUAAAACAAGUGCAUCAUGAUUUUAAAUUAUUCCUUAUGGUAUGCUUGUUUCCUUCCUUGUUCACUCAUUGGGUUUAUACUCACCGUUUUUAAACUUCAUGUUUUCAGAUCGAAAGGCAGCCGAUAACUAGGACGAGGUGUCCUUGUAGACUUGUAACCAUCUUUUGGUAGGUGUCUCGACAUUCAGUAGCUGUACAUUUGUUCGAGUUUCUCCGUUGGAAGUCGAGUAUUAUUUUGUUGUGUAUAGACGAACCUAAUGUAAAUUGUUAAGAUACAUGUUGUAGACAAUGUAUAUACAUUUGUUUGGUAUGCCAGUAUGAGAUGGUAAUAUGUAGUAUUAUUUUGAUUCUAAGUUAUGAAAUGUGACUUAACAAUUUAUGAUGGAAUGAUAAACAUGCCAGAUUAAUAGGCUUGUUUGGGCUUAGUGGAUUACGUCCAUUGAGCCCAUGCGUCGGUCAUGGCCCGAAAUUUGGGUCGUGACACACCCCCCCUCUAGCACAUAUUAUUAGGAACAACAAGUGGUAUCAAAGAUAGUUCCUUGUUAUUAAGGUGGAACACCCUUUGGGAGGAUCCAAAUGGCUCAACUAAAAUCAGUAGUGGCUGAGGGAUAAUCAACAAAUAGACCACCUCUGUUUGAUGGCUCUAAUUACCCUUAUUGGAGCACUAGAAUGUCAAUCUAUAUUAGAGCUAUAGACUAUGAAAUGUGGGACAUCAUAACUGAUGGACCUUUUAUGCCCUCAACCGUAAAUGUGGUAACAAAUGAGUUUAUGCAAAAGCAAAGGUCUCAAUGGACCGAGGCUGAGACUAAGAAAGUUCAAGUAAAUUUUAAGGCCAUCAAUACAUUACAUUGUGCCUUGACCCCCACUGAAUUUAACAAAGUCUCAAGCUGUACAACAACUAAACAAGUGUGGGAGAAACUUAAAAUAAUCCAUGAAGGGACUUCUCAAGUAAAAGAGUCCAAAAUUGCCUUCUUAACACAUAACUAUGAAAUGUUCAAAAUGGAGCCUGGUGAAGACAUCACUAGCAUGUUUGAUAGGUUUACAAACAUCACAAAUAAAUUGAGUCAGCUAGGCAAGCCUAUUCUUGAACAUGAAUUAGUAAAGAGACUGCUUAGGAGUCUAUAAAAAAAUUGGAAGCCUAAAGUGACUAUAACCCGAGAAGCAAAAGAUCUAAAUGUUAUCACCUUAGAUGAGAUUUGUGGCUCUCUCCUAACUCAUAGGCUGGAGCUUAAAGAGGAAGAAGAAGAAGAUAAAAGGGAAGCAAAGGAAAAUAAAAAGAGCAUUGCACUUAAAGCCAGCAUCCUUGAAGAAGAACUAGAAAAGCUGUCAUGCAAUGAUGAUGAAGAGUUAGCUUUGGUUGCAAGAAAAUUCAGAAAGCUUAUGGGCAGAAGAAAUCGGAGAUUAGCUAGAAGAGGGUUUAGAAAAGAUCAAGGUGCUUCAUGGAAAUUCAGAAACAAAAAUGACUCCAUCAAAAAAGAGGAGUUAAUUUGCUACGAAUGCAAAAAACCUGGCCACUUCAAGUCAGAAUGUCCAUUGCUGAAAGAUGAGACACCAAAGAAAAAUAAGAAAUCCAAGAAAGCAGUGGUAGUAGCUGCGUGGUCGGACAGUGACACUUCAAGCUCUGAAGCUGAAAAUGAAAAAUCUGAGGAAAGAGCAAACCUCUGCUUGAUGGCACAAAAUGAUGAAACCGAGGUAUCCUCAUCCCCCUGUGACAUUUCUAUUGAUGAUUUACAAGAUGAAUAUGAUAGCCUUUAUGAUGAAUUUGAAAAACUUUUUUCAAAAUACAAAACAUUAAAGAAAAAGGCUACAUCUCUUGAAAAUGAUUUGGAUAAGUUGAGACAAGAAUUCAAUUUUGUUUUUGAGAAUAGAAAUAUUUUGCAAAUUCGGUUAGAACACUCAAAAACAAAUUUGAAGUUUUAAAAUUGGAGCUGGAUAAUAAGUCUGAUGUUGUGCAGAAAUUACUUGAUGAAAACACAGCUUUCAAAUGUUUGAAAAAUGAAUCUUCAAAAGGAUAUGCAUACCACAAUAAAAAUUCUGCUAAUGCAUUACCUAAAUGCUACAAUUAUGGUAAAUAUGGUCUUUUAUCAUAUGAUUGUUUUAAAAAAAGAAAUGUGCAGAAAGUUAGAAAAAUUUAGGUCCCUAAAGGAUCUUAAGUUGCAACUAACUCUGAAAGACCCAUCAAAGCCUGGGUACCUAUAAAGAAAAAUUGAAGUUUUUUUUAUAAGUUGAGCUACACUUAAAGGAGACAUGUUCAAGAGCUCAACUCAAGAAGAAGCAGCCUUGGUACAUGGAUAAUGGCUACUCACAGCACAUGACAGAAGAUGAAAUGUUAUUUGCUCAACUGGACAAAAGAAAAGGAGGUACCAUAUCAUUUGGUGAUGAUUCAAAAGGUAGAAUUCAUGGGAUAGGUACGGUUGGUAAGAACUCCCAAACUCAAAUCAGUCAUGUGUUGCUACUUAAGGGUUUGAAGCAUAAUUUGUUAAGCAUUAGUCAAUAAUGUGACCAAGGAUUUAAAGUAUGCUUUGAUUCAAAUAAGUGUGAAGUAAUUGACAUAAGAAGAAACAAAGUCUCAUUUAUAGGAAAGAGAUUGAAAAAUAUGUAUGUAAUAUUUCUUGAGGUGUGAGACCGAGACCUCUAUAGGCUCGCAACUAGGCAUAGAUGCAAUAACACUAGCUAAAGGUAGUUUUGUCAUUUCUUUAAUAAGACCCUAAAAGUAAGUUUUUAAAGAAUAUUAUGGCUUAAGUAGACCUAAGGCAUAAAUGAAUGAUGAAAUACGGGUAAAAUGGCGAAGGAAAUAAAAAUAAUGAUGAUUCCCAUGGUAAGGGCAACAUGGUCAUUUUUCAUCUUGGGUCAAAAUUUUAAGUUUUUAUUAACUCGAGUAUUUUUAGACCUUUGUGGACCUGGCCUCAGUGUCAAAAGAGUAAAAAGAUUGCACCAACUAUUGGAGAAGAAUAAGCUAACUUGCUAAGGGCAUUUUCGUAAUUUAAAUGGAGUUGGAUAAGCUUGAGCUAUAAAAAUCAGCUUUCAGCAGCUUCUUUUCACAUUUCCAGCAACUUAUUCUUCUUCUUCCUUCUUCCCUUUCAUGUUUCUUCAUCCUCCAUGGAAGCUUGAUAUGAAACCUCCAUAACCUCUCUUGAAAUAGCUCAAAUUUUCAAGCUUUUAUGCACUUUUGCAUAGAACCCUUGUGCUCUUUCACUCUCUCACUUCAAAACCCUUGAUAAGUCUUACUUCCAUACUUUCUCUAACUAGUUAGGCAUUUAGAGAGAAAAAGAGAGCUUCAAUAAAGGCUUGAAAGUUUUUGGAAAGAAUUUCAAUUGUAAAGCUACCAAGGUGAGUAGUGAAUUAGAAUUAAACUUUUCUUAGUGUUGAGAAUGAUUAGUGCUUAAACUUGUGAGUGUCUUGUUGUUGAGGUUGUGCAUUCACUUUGGAAUGAUUAGGAUAGUGAAAAUAGAUAGCCAAUUAGAUGGCAAUUAGAAGCUAGUUAAGAGAUAGCUUUUAGAAUUUACAAGUAUUGGAAUUGAUUUAAUUGUGAUGUUAACGUGAUGAUAGGUUCCAACGAAGCCCCACCGUCCCAUUUGGACUAUUAGGGAAGUUAGAGUCGACUAAAGGUUCAACAAAAUACCGGUGAGUGAACUUGCAUUAAAAAGGUUUUGGGAUGUGUAUACAAGUAUGUUUGAUUGAAUCCCUAAAGCGUUUUAUUUGUUUUAUCUUCAAAACACGUUCGGGAACAAGCCUUUGAUAAAUUGUCUCUAUUUUAUGAUAUGUGGCUGUUAUGGAUUCAUGUACUACUACAUUAUGUUGGUAUAUAUAUAAAUAUCUGUUGUGCAUUGAUAGCUGACAUUGUGUGAUGAUCAUAACCGUGCGUGUGCACGAUGUGGGGGGAUGCACAUGCCGAUGAUGACAGUAGUGAGAGAGAUGGAUAGUGAUAGUGCCCGUGAUGACAGAUGUGGGGGGAUGCACACGAUGGCACUAACUAUGCACGAUGUUGGGGGAUGCACACAAUGACUCCGACUAUGUGCAUGAUGUAGGGGGAUGCACAUGAGCUAGCUGGGACAAUGGUGGUAUUGGUGUUUAUCUAUGUAUAUAUAUGUUUAUGAAAUAAAAGUUCAUGAUUAUGGUAUAUGGUUGUAAUGCAUGUGAAAAUUUGGCAUGUUGAACUUUGGGAAUUUUUAAGUGUUUUAUGUUGAUUUUUUCAUUUAAGCAGGAUGGCCUUCUUAUUGAGAGAAUGGAAACUUUUCUUUGGUGCCCUGUUUCUCGCUGCAGCGAAAAUGAUUCUUGCUGUAGUGAGAAACUCUCGGGUUUGAAGGGUUUGCUUGACCUGGUUCUCGCUGCAGCGAGAAAUUUGCUGGAGCCUUUCGCUGUAGCGAGAAACUUUCUGUUUUGGCCACUUGAAUCUCGCUGUAAUGAGAAACUUUAUGUCCGGUAUGCUAUCUUGCUGAUUCUUGCCAUAUUUUUCCAUUUCAUUUACACCAUAGUUGAUCAUCGAUUCCUAACAUUUAGGGGUUUAUUUAAUUAAGUUUGAAAUGGGGAAUUUUAGAGAGAAACCCUCGGUCAGUUGAGAAACCAUCGUCCAGCUAAUAACUUGAGCCAAAUUUUGCUCCGCUGCAGCGAGGACCCAUUGUUUCAUAUGACUAGCUUGUAUAUCACUUAAGCUUUCAUUCUUCAAAUUCUUUUUUAUGUAUGGAAUCAUUACUAUCAAGUGAUUAAUCAUUUAAGGGUUUAACGAGGGGUUUUAAUAAGAAUGAAACUAAAUUGCAUUGUUUUGAAAAUAAAUGCAUCAUGAUUUCUUUCAACUUUCCCUCUUGUUUGCUUGUUCCCUUCUUAUGUUCACUCACUGGGUUUAUACUCACCGUUUUUGACUUCAUGUUUUCAGAUCAAGAGGCAGUCGAUAACUAGGCUGAGGUGCCCUCGUAGAUUCGUCUCUUUGGUAGGCAUCUCGGCAUUCAAUAGCCAUACGUUGCCCAGGUCUCUCCGUUGGAAGUUGAGUACUCUUUUGUUGUGUAUAGACAAACCGAUGUAAAUUAUUAAAAUAUAUGUUUAGACAAUAUAUGUACACUUUGAUUGGUAUGCCACUAUGAGUUGGCAAUGCUUAGUAUUAUUUUAAUUCAAAGUUAUGAAAUGUGACUUAGCAACUUUGAUGGAAUGAUGAACAGGUCAUAUUAAUAGGCUUGCUUAGGCUUAGUUGUCACGACCUAAAUUUCGGGCCAUGAUCGGUGCAUGGGCCCAAUGGACGUAGUCCACUAAGCCCAAGCAAGCCUAUUAAUCUGACAUGUUCAUCAUUCCAUCAUAAACUUUUAAGUCACAUUUCUUAACUUAGGAUCAAAGUAAUAUUAAACAUUGCCACUUCAUACUAGCAUACUAAACAAGUGUAUAUACGUUGUCUACAACAUGUAUCUUAAUAAUUUACAUUACGUUUGUCUAUACACAACAAAAGAAUACUCGACUUCCAACAGAGGGACUCGAACGAAUAUAUAGCUACUGAAUGCCGAGACACCUACCAAAAGAUGGAUACAAGUCUACAAGGACACCUCGUCCUAGUUGUCGACUGUCUCGUGAUCUGAAAACAUGAAAUUGAAAACGGUGAGUAUAAACCCAGUGAGUGAACAAAGAAGGGAACAAGCAACCAUAAGGGAGAAUUUAAAAUCAUGAUGCACUUGUUUUAAAAUAAUACAAUUUAAUUUCAUUCAUAUUGAAAACCCCUCAUAAAACCCUUAAAUAUUAAUCACUUGGUAAUGAUGAACCCAUACAUAACAAAUAAUUUGAAAAAUGAAGCCUUCAGUGAUACACAAGCAGGUCAAAUGCGACAACGAAUCUUCGCUGUAGCGAAAAGGCAUUCUCGCAUUUUAAACUUACUCAUUGGGAUUAAGUUAUUUGCCGAACGAGGGUUCCUUAACUGGCCGAGGGUUUCUCACCAAACUUACUCAUUUUAAACUUAAUUCACUUAUUCUUUAAUGUUGGAAGUCCAAGCUCAACUAUGGUACCAAAGAAAUGGAAAAUGGAGUAGCAACCAAACCAAAAAGGAAACAAAACAGAAAGUUUUUUGUUGAAGCGAGAUUCAUUCUCACUGCAGUGAAAUUUUGGUCCCAAAACAGAAUGUUUCUCGCUACAGCGAGAAUGCAUUUUCAUUGCAGUGAGAACCAAACUGGUGAGGCUUUCAAAAACCCGAGAGUUUCUCGCUGCAGCGAGAACAGAUCAACAUGAACAAGAUCUCCAUUCCCUCAAUAAAAGCCAUCUUGCUAAAAUGACACCGACAACAUGAAACACAUGAAAUCCCCCAAAGCGCAAUGUAUCUAAUUUCACAUACAUUUCAAUCAUAUAUCAUAUUCAUGCCCUUUCAUUUCAUAAGUAAAGAUAUGCAUACAUAUAUAAAUAACAUCCAUAUCAUCAUAAUCACACUCGGUUUAUGUACAUCCCCCCACAUCGUGCACAUAGCCUGCGCCAUCAUGUGCAUCCCCCCACAUCGUGCACAAUCAGUGCCAUUUGUACAUCCCCCCACAUCCUGCACACAGGCACUAGCAUCAUCCACCUAUCACACCACCAUCAUCACUGGCCUGUGCAUCCCCCCACAUCGUGCACACACACGGUUACAAUCAUCAUACACAAUGUCAACUAUCAUGCACAACAUAUAUAUAUCAUCAUGAUGCAAUAGUGCAUGAAUCCAUAGCAACCACAUAUCACAACACAAAACCAUUUAGCAAAAGCUUGUUCCCAAGGCACUUAUUUUAAGAAAAGUUUGUUCAAAAUCAUUCAAUUGUGUGACAAGUACAUUAUAUUCCCAAACAAGUUUUGAAGGCAGUUCACUCAUCGGUAUAUUGUUGAGCCUUUAGUUGACUCUAAUUCCCCUAAUGAUCCAAUUGGAAGGAUGGGACUUCAUUAGAACCUAGAAUCACAUUAGCAUAAGCGAUAGGUCAAUUCACACACUAUAAACUCUAAAAGCUAUCUCUUAGCUAGCUUUCAAUUGCCACAUUAAAUGGGUAUCUAUGUUCACUAUCUUAAUCACUAUAAGGAAUGAACAUACUCAACAAUAAAACAGCUCAUAAUCCCAAUUACUAGCCAUUAUUCACAGCUAAAAAUCAAGCUUGGUUCAUCACUCACCCUAGGGUUUCUUUGUAGUUGAAUUUUCUUUUAAUAGCUUCCAAACAAAUGGGGUAAUUCUCUCUUUCUCUUUCUAGAAUGCCCAGCUAGUGAGAGAAAGUAUGGAAAUAAGAUUUAUCAAGGGUUUUGAAGUGAAAGAGUGAAAUAAUACAAGGGUUCUAGUCAAAAGGGCACAAAUGUAUGAAAACUAGAGCUAAAGAGAGAAAAUUAUGCAAGCUCCAUAUCAAGCUUCCAUGGAGGUUGGAAGCAAUGUGAAUUGGGAGGAGAAGAAUAAGAAGAAAAGCUACUGGAAAAAAUGGGAGAAGAAGCUGCUGGAACAAAGAGAUAUUUAUAGCCAAUCUUAUCCAUUCCACUUAAAUUACCAAAAUGCCCCUUCACAAAUUAACUUACUCUCCUCCAACCCUUUAUGAAAUCUUUUUACUCCUUUGACACUGAGACAAGGUCCAUAAUGGUCUAGACAUGCUUGGGUUUACGAAACUUAAAAAAUUUUAACCCGAGGUAAAAAUAACCAUUUUGCCCCUAUAGUGAAAAUUAUUGUCAUUUCUAGUUUUCUUCGUGUUUUUAUCAUUACACAUCAUUUAUGCGGUCUUAUGCUUAUUUAGACCUUAAAAUAUCAUAAAACUUUCUUCUGGGAGCUUAUUCAAAAAAAUGAUAAAACUACCCCUGGCCUGUGUUAUUGUGUCUAUGCCUAGUUACAAGCCUAUAGAGGUUGAGGUCUCACAUUAGUGGACUACGUCCAUUGGGCCCAUACGCCGGUCAUGGCCCUGAAUUUGGGUCGUGACAUGAGGAUCUUGAAAUAAAUGAUGAAAUAUGUUUAGUUGCAAAUGCUGAUAGUGAUAGUUGGUUAUGGCAUAGGAGACUAAGACAUGUAAGCUUGCAUACCAUGUCAAAAUUAAUUAAGAAAAAUCUAGUUGUUGGGUUACCAAAUAUAAAAUUUGAAAGUGACAAAAUAUGUGAUGCUUGCCAACUAGGAAAACAAGUUAGAACAUCUUUCAAGUCUAAAAAGAUUGUGUCAACAUCUAAACCUCUUGAAAUGCUGCAUAUUGAUCUAUUUAGUCCAAUAAGCACAACUAGCUUAGAAGGAAAAUCUUAUGGCUUUGUAAUAGUUGAUGAUUAUUCUAGAUAUACAUGGGUUUAUUUUCUUGCUCACAAAAAUGAUGCUUUAUCAGCUUUCAUAAGUCAUUGUAGGAAAGUAGAAAAUGAAAAAGAACUAGCCAUAGUUAGCAUAAGGAGUGAUCAUGGAGGAGAAUUUGAAAGUGAGGAAUUUGAGAAAUUUUACAAUGAAAAGGGGUUGGAUCGCAACUUCUCUACACCUAGAACACCCUAGCAAAAUGGAGUUGUAGAAAGGAAAAACCGAACCUUAAAAGAAAUGGCUAGGACUAUGCUAUGUGAAAAUAACCUACCAAAGUAUUUUUGGGCUAAGGUAGUGAACACAGCAGCAUAUAUACUUAAUAGAGUCUCAAAAAGACCCAUGUUAUCUAAGACACCUUAUGAACUCUACAAAGGUAGGAAACCAAACAUAUCUCACCUAAGGAGCUUUGGUUGUAAGUGCUUUGUAUUGAAUAAUGGAAAACAACCCCUAGGGAAGUUUGAUGCAAAGAGUGAUGAAGCUAUACUUUUGGGACAUGCAUUAAACUCAAAGGCCUAUAGGAUUUUCAACAAAAGGACUUUAACGAUAGAAGAAUCAAUCCAUGUAGUUUUUGAUGAGUCCAAUGCUUUACAAAAAGAAAUUCAUGAUGAUGAUGAUGAUGAUGAUGUAGAAAUUCUAGAAAGACAAAUGGAAGUAAUGAGCUUAGAAAAUAAUAAAAAUAUUGAAGAAAGCUCACCUAGAAGAGAAAAUGAAACUCCACUUCUAGAAAAUCUGCAAAGAGCAGAAAAUCAGCAUGAUGAUCUUUCAAGGAGUUGGAGAUUUGUAAGAGACCACCCACAAGACCAAAUAAUAGGUGACAUUUCACAAGGAGUUAGAACUAGGAAAGCAACAAGAGAAACUUGUGAGUUUUUAGCCUGUAUAUCUCAAAUUGAGCCUAAAAACUUUGAAGAAGCUAAAAAAGAGGAAAGUUAGAUAAUGGCCAUGCAAAAAGAACUUGAUCAAUUCACAAGAAACCAUGUAUGGUCAUUAGUACCUAGACCUUCAAAUCACUCUAUUGUUGGCACCAAAUGGGUGUUUAGAAAUAAGGUAGAUGAGCAAGGAAAUGUACUUAGAAAUAAAGCUAGAUUGGUAGCACAAGGUUACAACCAAGAGGAAGGAAUAGACUAUGAUGAAACCUUUGCACCCGUUGCUAGGAUUGAAGCCAUAAGGUUGUUGUUAGCUUUUGCAUGCUUCAUGAAUUUCAAAUUGUACCAAAUGGAUGUAAAAAGUGCAUUUUUAAAUGGAUUCAUUCAAGAGGAAGUAUAUGUUGAACAACCACUAGGUUUUUAAGAUUUUGAAAAACCAGAUCAUGUUUUCAAACUCCACAAAGCCUUGUAUGGAUUGAAACAAGCUCCUAGAGCUUGGUAUGAGAGGCUUUCAAAAUUUCUGGUUGAAAAAGGUUAUGAUAGAGGCAACAUUGCUACUACUUUGUUUAUUAAAAGAUGUUUAAAUGAUUUAAUUGUUGUGCAAAUAUAUGUGGAUGACAUUGUAUUUGGUGCCAUUAAUGAGGCUUUGUGCAAGAACUUUGCAAAAGAAAUGUAGGGUGAAUUUGAGAUGAGCAUGAUGGCAGAGUUAAAGCACUUUCUUGGUCUUCAAAUUAAGCAAAGUGAGGAAGGAAUCUUCAUCAACCAAGAAAGAUACACUCGAGAUAUGCUCAAAAAGUUCGAUAUGCUGAAGCUCAAAUCAAUCUCCACACCAAUGAGACCAUCCACAGAACUUAAUCUUGAUGAAAAAGAAAAAAUGUAGAUCAAAAGCUAUAUAGAGGUAUGAUCGGUUCACUACUUUACAUAAUAGCAACUAGACCAGAUAUUCAUUUUUGUGUGUGUUUGUGUGCUAGAUUUUAGUCACAACCUCAAGAAUCACACCUAACAACUGUUAAGAGAAUUUUUAGAUACCUCUUAGAAACUUAAACUUUAGGAUUAUGGUAUUCUAGAGAAUCAUCAUUUGAUCUUGUAGGCUAUUCGGAUGCAGACUUUGCAGGAAGCAAAACUAAUAGAAAAAGCACUAGUGGAACAUGUCAAUUUAUAGGUAAUAUGCUAGUAUCAUGGUCCAGCAAAAAGCAAAACUCAAUGGCUUUAUCUACAACAGAAGCAGAGUAUAUAUCACUAGGAAGCUGUUGUGCACAAAUUCUUUGGAUUAAACAACAAUUAAAAGACUAUGGAAUGACUAUGCAUAAUGUACCAAUAUAUUGUGAUAACACAAGUGCAAUUAAUAUAUCAAAAAAUCCUAUACAACACUCUAGAGCAAAACACAUUCAAAUUAGACAUCAUUUUGUUAGAGACCAUGUAAUGAAAAAUGAUAUUAAAAUUGAAUUUGUGAAUACAUUGCAUCAAUUAGCUGAUAUUUUACUAAACCAUUGAAUGAAGAUAGAUUCUGUGAAAUUAGAAGGAAUUUAGGUAUGAUUAGUCAGUAGGAAUUGUGAGAAAAUCUUUGGUUCAUGUACAUGAAACAGAAUGCAUUUAGUUGACUGAGAUGAAUCUUAGUCAACUAAGAGUGUUCUGGUAACAUUAAAUAAUAAGACUCAGUUAAAAUAAGAGAAAGAGGAAUAAAAUAAUGGGAAAAAAUUGCCUACCGGGUAAUAAAGAAAGAAAAAAUGUUUCCUGAGGUGAAUAACUAAAAUUUAGAGGGAGUUUUGAAAUUUUGGGCAAAUAGAAUAGGGCAAUAUUUAAGGGGGAGUUGAAUGGUUUCUCUAAAAGGAAUUAAAAAUGGCUGACAACUUCUCUUUCUCCACUUUUCUCUUCCUUGAAACCAAGUGUCUUAAACUGAAACCCAUCUCUUCACAUUUUCUUCUAAAAUCUAUUCAAACCCUUUGCCAUUUAGACAAAACCCCUAUCAAACAAAUUCUUGAAUCAAAAUGGAGAGAUCUCCACAGAGUAAAGAAAUCGUAGAAAAGCAAAAAGGGAAGAGACCACUAGAAGAAAGGACAGAAACGAAAAGUCUAAAGAAGAAACAGAAAAUCAUGUCUGUGUUAGUGAAAGAGAUAUCGGAGAUACUAAAAGAGAAGAAGCAGAAAAUGAAAAUGAAGAAGGACAAGGAACCUUCACUCAAGAAAGGUACUAGUUCCUCAUCUUCUAAGUUCAGAAAUAGAUUGCAUGAACUGAGGUUCAAAAAUAUUGAAAAUGCACUAAUUUCCUGUGGCAAAUAUAUUGAUUGGAAGAGUUUUGAUGAGAACUUAAAGAUUCAGACUAGUUUAUCAGAUUAUUUUGAUGAGCUAAAACUGAAAGAAUAUAGCACCUUUAAGAAUAGAUCCUAUAGUGCAAGUCUGGUAAAGGAAUUCUAUUCUGGCAUUGCUUUAAAAGAAAAUGAAUUAGAGGAUUCUGAUGAUUAUGUCAAAGAUGGUCUGAAUGUGUAUUUGAAUGCGAAAGAAUUUGUUGUCACUGCUGAGGAUUUAGGAAGCUUACUAAAAAUCGAGUGUGAAGAAGGUGAGUAUGAGUUCCCAGAAAAGUAUGAUCCAUCCUCAUUAUGGGAAAUCAUCACUGAGAGAAAGGAAAAGUAUUCAUUAAAGAGUAAUUCAGGACUGACAAUCAGCCCCUAGAUUAGGAUUUUUCACUACUUUAUAGCAGUAAACAUUCAGGGCAAAAGUAGAAGUUUGAGUUACGUCAGCCUUCAGAAUCUUUAGCUAAUGGAACAUGCCUUCAAUGGAGUUUCUCUGAAUGUAGGAAGGUUUAUGAUUGAAAAGAUGAGAGGAGCUUGCAGACUUGAUAAGAUCAACCUGCCUUAUAGGAAUGUCAUCACAUCUCUGUGCAGAAAAAGGGAGUUUGGGCAAAGAGGUAUGAAAUAAACAUGGUGAAAAUCAAAGAUCAAGCCAUUUACUAUGGCAGUUUGAUCAAAAUGGGGUAUAUACUCGAUGGGGAAAGAUUCAUUAAGACCCCCAAGACUGGUCUUGAAAGAGAAUCCAGUUUGCUUGCUCAACAAGAGAGAGCACCAUCCAGAUUCUCAAAUGAAGUUAUUUUAAAUCUUCUUAUGAAAAUCGAUGGGAAGCUUACUGACCAAGGAGAAAGAUUAUAGAAAAUUGAAGAGAAAAUUACAAAACAAGAAAAUGACUUGAAGAAGGAAGAAAAUGAGCCAUCUAAACCUGUGGCUACAGACACCUCUACAACACCUGGCAUUGCACCAACAUAGCAAGGUGCUGAAAGUUCAGCUGAGCCAGCAAAAAAGUCUACUCCUCAUGGUGGAAGUCAUGGCAUUCAAGCUGAAGGUUCCACCUAUAAAUCUGUCAGUCCUGUUCUACAGACUGAAGACUUUUCACCAAGGGGUUGAUCAACCAGCCAAGACACCCUCUCCGAAACUUCAAAUUAAAAAUGAAUCAGAACAAGGGACUGAAGUGGUUGGUUCAGAAAUAGAGAAGUAGCAGGCCUCCCCUCCCAACUCAAAAAAAAUAUCCAUUAUGGAUAUUUUUCAUCAAAUGGUUAGAGAGGGACAAGCUGAAAAAGACACUGUUAGAACAAAAACUCAAAAAGAUGGUGGAGAUAUAGGAAAAGGGAAGAAACUUGCAUCAGCUCCUAAAGUAAAGGCACAAUCUGGGAAAGAAAAAGCCACUGCAGCACCACCAACAGAGGGAAAACUACCAACCAAAGGAAAUAAGACUAUGGCCACCAAGAUAACUUUUCUCAAGAGAAGAAAGUUUUCCAGGUUGGCAGGGUAAUCCAGACCAGUUUCAGCCUCUUCUCCUCAGAGUCUAGUCCCUAUCUCAAACAAAGCCUCACCAGAACCUUCCCCUAGAAAGUCAUCACCUCUCCGAGAGCCCUCUCAUUUUCCUCUAAGCCCUUUCUAUGGCACUGAAUCCUCACCCUCUGACACAUCAAACGAAUAGAAGCCCCUUCCUUUGAUGCUAACAAAAAGGGGAAGUAGAAUGGCAGAACCAAGCGUACAGGAACCAGCCAGAGAAUAAAUUAAAAAAAAUGUGUUAGGGUGGACAAACCAGGAAAGAACUUAGAAAAGAAAAGAAAGCAGAAAUGAAUCAAGAGUAGGAACUUAGAAAAAUAAGGGAUAGGAAGCAAAUACUGUUCAGGGGUAAUUUCGAAACAUCUUUUAAUUAACUACUAUAUGUGCCAUGGGGGCACUUGAACACUCAAUUUUAAUUUUGUUGUUUAUAUGGUAGUGUGAGACAUGAAUGCUAAUAUAUCUAUGAUGUUUGUUUGCUGAAAAUUGAAUGUUUGCUGAUAAUCUGCUAUCCAUGAUAUUUAACUGUUGUUAACAAAAUCUGCUACUAAACCAUAUUGAACUACAUGCUAAUAACUGCUACUGUAUGCUGAAAAUUAUGGAUGUUGUGUAUAGUGUGUUGACUGAAUUAUGAAGGGAAUAAACAAAAUUUUAUGACUAUAUACUGUUGACAGAUCCUGCAGAAUUUUUAUGAAAAACUGUCAACAUUCAAUGCUAUAAAUCACACCAAAAUUCUAUACAUCUGUAUGCUUUAAAUUUACAAUGUCAUUCUCUACAUGACGAGGAUAAAAUUUGCUGGAAUAAAUAUGCACACACUAAGGGGGAGCAUAUGCUUAGGGGGAGCAAUCCUCAUUUUCUGCAGAAAACUAAAAUGAGUAAAAAGACACUAUGCUGUUAAUCAAGGAACAUUUUGUCAUCGUAAAAAAAAAGGGAGAUUGUUGGCUCCAUUAGUUUUUGAUGAUAGUAAAACAUUCCCAUUCAUUUGUGUCUAAUACAUUUUACUUAAGUGUACAGGAAAAUUAAUGUAUGAAAUUAAUAAAUCAAUCUUUUUAAAGUAUAUAUUAAAAAAAAGAUAAAAAUAAUGAGACGUGACUGAUUAACAAGGAGGAAGCUCAUUAGUUGAAUAAGGAAGAAUGUUGGUUGGCCAAGAUUCAAAUUGGAGAAAUGGUGGGCUGAAGAGUUUGAAGAACAGAGACAACUUAGUCAAUCAAGAAAUGGACUAGUCGACUAAGUGCUUACUGCCAGAACUGCCAGAGACAGGGAGCAAAAAAAUCAUAACAUCUUCUCCACACUUUGCAACACUCAAACGAUCAUCUUUUGUACUUGUAUUCAGCACUCAACCUUUUACCAUUUAGAUAAACUUGUGAUCAUAGGUGCUUUCUUCUAGCUUUCUUAUUUUAUUCUUAGAGUGAGGCAGUCACUCUAAGAGGUUGUUUCAAGCUCGGUGUGCUUGAAGGUGUUAAGGUUCUAACUUAGCCUUGAAAAGUUAGGUGUUGGGUUUUAGUUUAGCUUGUGAAAAACUAAUGUAAAAGGUUUUGGCUGAGUCUUGUAAAAGCCAUUGUAAAGCUUGGUGAAAGCUUGUGAAUUUCACCGGUUCUUAGUGGAUUUGUUAGGAAAAUCCUUGGUUGGAUAAUCAAGGUAGUGGAUGUAAGUCUUGGAUCGAACCAUUAUAAAUUCCUGUGCAUUGUUCUCUGUUUUUAUUUUCUUUGUUCUGAAAAUUAGUUCCUUAUCUUGUCAAGAGCCGAUUUGUGCUAUUCACCUCCUCUCUAACACAUAUUAUUAGGACCAACAUUAGGAUGAUUCCUCCAACUAGGAUUAUAAGUGUUGGAAUAGGGAUUGUUCUGUUGCCUAUUUCCAACAAAUUGACAAGACUCAGAAUAUAUGGGACAAUUGUCAUUGGAAUGUCCUUCCCCACAAAAUUCACAUGUCAUAAAGGAGUUUUGAACAACAUUUAACUCUCAGUUUAUCUAUUUUCUUUGCGAGAGAUGCCAAUUGUGUAAAGACAGUGCUUAUUGCAUCUAAUUCAUGAAUUCCAACCAUUUUUCUUGUACCCAAUCUUUCAGAUGGCCAUUGAUAAUUAUUAGAAGCUAUCUCUUCGAGCAAAUCAUAAGCCUCAUCAAUGGAUUUACUCAUGAGUGCACCUUUAGCGGCAGCAUCAAUGGUAGUUUUAGAAGGUCCUAGGAAACCAUUAUAAAAAGUUUGAACUAGUAGUCACUUAGGUAAUCCAUGGUGAGGACACCUUCUUAUUAAAUCCUUAUACCUUUCCCAAGCCUCAUAUAGUGAUUCGGAAUCAAAUUGUAUGAAAGAAGUGAUAUCAUUCCACAUCUUUGCUGACUUUGCAAGUGGGAAGAAUUUUGCUAAGAAUUUUUUAGCCAAAUUAUCCUAAGUAUUAAUGGAACCAACAGGAAGCGAAUUUAACCAACUCUUUGCUUUAUCUCUCAAUGAAAAAGGUAAAGGCCUCAAUUUUAUGGCAUCAUCAGUAACACCAUUAGCCUUGAAUGUAUUGUAGAUUUCUAGGAAAUUUACAAUAUGAGCAUUCGGAUCAUCAUUAGGCAAACCCCCAAACUAAAUAGCAGUCUGAAUCAUCUGAAUGAUUGAUGGCUUCAUUUCAAAGUUGUUGGCUUGAAUAGGAGGUCUUCAAAUACUAAAGUGGAGAUUUUGUACUCAUGGGACUAUAUAAUCCCUCACAGGCUUGGUCUCUUCCCCUUGUUGAUCAACCAUUGUUUUACUUGGAGCAGAAAUGUAUUUGUAUUUCCUCCAAAGUCUUCAAAAAGUUUUUUCGAUUUAUGGAUCAAAAAGAACAAUUUUCAAAUUUAGGCUCUUCACAUACAACGACCAAAAGUACUUGAAAAAUUAAAGAAAAGAAAAGUCUAUAUUGAAGCUAAAAAUGCUUGGUAUUAAUAUUAACAAGGAAGAAUUAAAAAUCAAUUUCUCGACAAUGGUGCCAAAAUCUUGUUGUUCAAUUUUCUACCCACGCAAAUGCACGUAUCGCAAAGAUAAUAUAGAGAUGAGUAGAGUGUCAAUCCCACAGAGAAUUGAAUUAAUCCUUAUUAUUAACUACUAAAAUUAACACACCUUAAUUUUAUCUAAACAAUUAAAAUUAAAAAGGAAAAUUUAAAUUAAUAAACUAAAAACUAAAACUAAUAUAUCAGCAAAUUUUACUUCUAGUGAUUAAUAGACCUAAGAUUACGAUAUCCCUCAAUACUUCAUUUGAAUAUUGUCUCUCUCGUGACUUAGUUUAAUGGAUUAAGUUGCUAACCUAGAGUCCUAAAUUAUUUAUCAGUCUCUGUCGAGUUUCUUAAAAAAAUAUCUCUCUCAAUUAAUUUUCUAUAUGUCUAUGCAAAUUGUAUUGAAAAAAGAUUCAUUAAGUUUGUGCUCUAAUUUUGGCUACAUAUGGCUUAUAGGUGUAUGUCUAACUUAUAUGCAAAUCAAACCACCUAAUCAACUAAGUGUCUUCGAUCAUACGCUAUUCUAUUCAAGGUUUACCUAAAUCUCCUUCGUCAAGGCUUAACUUAGGUUCCCAAUUCAAUCUAAUUGGUGGCCAGUCAACUAAAAACAUUAAGAACAGAAUAAAAUAAACAACUUAAAUCUAUCAAACAUAAUCAGAAGAGAGAUAAAUAAUUCAUACUACAUAUUUAGUUCAAUCAUAAUCUUAGAUUAAUAAUUUAGUUCUCUAUCAAGUCACACAUCAUCAUUGAAUAAAGUUUAAACAUGAAGAACAAAACCAAGAAAAUAAGAGAAUAAAAGAAAAGAUAGAAAAACUCAAGAGUUGUAUUCUUGAUCUCCAAAUCACCUUGAAUCCUUCAAAUUCUUCGUAGCUUCAAUGACUCUGUGGCUUGAGUCUCAACUAUUAAUCUGGUGUUUUUCUCUUCUUCUCUGAAAGGUUAUUUUUAUAGGCUUUGAAGUUAGGCCAAGUUGGGUGGAGAAAGAAGUCAAUUCUAGCUAGGAUUUCCUUAUCAGACUAUGUGAGUCAUAGCCUUACCCAAUUAAUUAACAGAAAUCAUAAUUGGUCUAGGACUACUACAAUAUGUUAAAUUCAACAAGAGUUUUGACUACAUAUCAGGCUGAACUGGGUGAAGUGGCAAAUGAAAGGUUGUAUCUUUUUCUCUUAUCUUUCCAAUGGUCCAAAAAUCGCUUCAUUUGAAGCUCUGUAGAGAAAGUUAUGGCUAAAAUACCAAAAUAUAUACAGUGCAAGUCUGCACCUUGAAAUUGCUCUCAUUUUUUUACUAAAAUUCUUUUUUUAUCAAAUGCCUAUAAAAGCACAAAUAAAUCAAUAACAACCUAUGUUAACCAUAUUAACACCAAAUUAAGCAUAAAAUUAACCAUGAUUAGAUUGACUCACCUAAAAUAACUAAUUUAAAAUAAUUAAAUAAAAUAUACUAAUUUCUAUGUAUUACUACAAGAACUAUACUAAUUUAUUAUCAAAAUUAAGCCCAAAUAACUUUAUAUCAUAUAUUUAUCAACCGCAGCCAAGAUUUUUUAGCGUCGUGGCACUAAAUUUUUGAUACAAUAGCGUCGUGGCAUUCUAGCCUAAAAAACAAUGUAUGGUGUGUUUCAUUUCACCAGUGUGGCAGCCUUAUUCUCCUUAGUGCUGCAACCUUGGCUGUCUCUUAACUUUCCAAUGGAUCAAGAAUCACAUUAAUUGGACUUCUGGAGUGGAAGAUAUGCUUCAAAUACCACAUCAUAUUCAGUCCAUGUGUACUACUACAGUGCUCUGAUUUAGACAAAUAUUUCAACCAUGAUGUGAUCAGAAUUGGGCAUAGUGUAAACAUAAAACAUUAUAGCCCUUCCUCUGAUCUUUCUAUUGGUCCAAGAAUCACCUCAUUAGGAGUUCUGUAGAGAGGGAUAUGGUCAAAAUACUACAACAUAUAUGAAUGAAUCCAUCACCAUACUUGCACAGAGUUUCAUCAAAUGAGCCUUUUUCAUCAAAUUUCCUACAAAAGCAAUAAGACAAAUCAGCAAUAACUACUCUAAAAGUAAUUUAAAAUAAAAUAACUUAAAUUAAAUAAUCAACAUGUAAUCGAACUUAAACUAGAAAAAUACCUAAAAUGCUAAAAUUAGAAUUUAAAAAUCUCAAAUAUCUAGUAAUUUAAGCCCUCGAAAUGUGUCAAAAAAACUCUAUGUAAUAGAGUUAUCAAGCUUGUGGUGGAAAACUUGGAGGAAAGUUUGGCUUUAUUGUUGAUGAAGAUUCUUGGUUAUUGUUCUAAGAGAAAUUUGGAUGAUUUCUCCAACUAAGAUUGUAGUUGAUGGAACAAGGAUUAUUUUGCUAUCUAUUAAAAUUCCUAACAAAUUGUAUAGAUUCAGCAUUAAUUGGCAAUGAUCAUUAGAAUGCCCAUCUCCACAUAACUUACAUGUCAAAAAAUGACUCUAAACAGCAUAGACACCCAAGAAUCAAUUUUUUGUAGUGAGAGCAGCCAUUUAUGUAGUCAAGGUAUAAAUUGCAUCAAGCUCAUGAAUACCAGUAACUUUUCUUAGACCCAAUAUCUCAGAUGGCCAUCGAUAAUAGUUGGAAGCCAUCUCCUUUAAUAAAUCAUAUGCCUCAUCAAUAGAUUUUGCCAUUCAUACCCUUUUUGCUGCAACAUCAAUGAUGGUUCAAAUUAGUCCCAUCAAACUAUUAUAGAAAGUCUGUACUUGCAGCCAUUUAGGUAAUCCAUGGUGAGGACAUCUUUUAAGUAAAUCAUUAUACCUUUCCUAAGCCUCAUAUAGUGAUUUCGAAUCAAAUUGCAUAAAAAAUGUCAUAUCUGUCACGACCUGGAACCUCCCUUGGACCCAUGACAACCGCCGCGACAUUCCAAUUGACACCAUUACCCGGAAUGCCAACCGGAACCCUGCAAGACUUACAUAUCAGUUUCUUUCCUUUCCUGUGAGCAAUCGUUGUUAAACAUUCUAUUUUAAACAAUUACCGGUCGUUUCUGGCUCAAAUAAAUCAAAAGACAAUUUUUUUUAAAGGAUUUAUAGACAAAUAUCACUAUUCAAAAUAUUGAUUAAAAUAUAACAUUUUUAUAUAAAACAAUAUUUAUAGAAACACGUGUAAGAAAUCUUUUGCAACAUGUAAGUAAAAUAAAUUCAUAUAUAUAAAAAUUUACAAAGUUAUAAUGUACAAUAAUGGUUACAAUGACAAGUGGCCCAAAAUACACCUAGUGUUGGUGCUAAAAACCUACUGUCUGUGUGGUAGAGAUGUCAANNNNNNNNNNNNNNNNNNNNNNNNNNNNNNNNNNNNNNNNNNNNNNNNNNNNNNNNNNNNNNNNNNNNNNNNNNNNNNNNNNNNNNNNNNNNNNNNNNNNNNNNNNNNNNNNNNNNNNNNNNNNNNNNNNNNNNNNNNNNNNNNNNNNNNNNNNNNNNNNNNNNNNNNNNNNNNNNNNNNNNNNNNNNNNNNNNNNNNNNNNNNNNNNNNNNNNNNNNNNNNNNNNNNNNNNNNNNNNNNNNNNNNNNNNNNNNNNNNNNNNUUAAAACAAGGCUCAAGCCAAAACUAAUCCUCGGGGAUACCUUGGUCGAGGUAUCUAAUCAAGUCCGCCAAGGUUGUUAUAACAUUUACAUGUGAAACACAUUUUUAUUUUUAAAACAAGUCGUUCCUUGGCGUUGGCCAAGUUACACAUUCACGUGGGGGUUCGACGUGAAGUGAGCUCUAAUACUACCCCAGGAGUUACCCUCCUCGCCUCUACAACCGGAGUAACUAUAUAACCGGGUUUAUCGUGCCUCUCUAAUAGGCAGUCCACUGAAACCCGUCACUGCAGUGACCAACCCACCAAUUUUAAUAAAAUUUCGACAGUAUAACGUGGCUUUAUUUGUCAAUACACUUACAAAAUAUAUUUACAAAAUAUAUAUUUAUCCAGCCUGCAUAGUAAAACAACUUACAUAAAUUUUCCAAUACACUUACAAAAUAUAGCCACAUAUACUCAUAUCUCAUAAGCCAUUCAUAGGAAAAUAUAUAAUUUUCAAGACAGUUAACAGCCUCCAAUUACUCAAUUUCAUAAUCAACCCAAUAUAUCUUUAUUUGUCACAUUUAUUGGUAAAACAUCAAAAAUCCCGUUUUAAUCUCGUUUUCAUUUCAUAAAAUACAUAAAGAGCAUUUAAAAAUAAACUCUAGAUAAUUUACAAUAAUAAUAAGUUUACUCACCAUUUGUACAAACUAAAAGCUUUCAAGGCACCCCGAUAACUACUCGUCGGGUACGAUUUUCUUGCCUUUACCGGAAGGCUCUCCUCCUAGACACAUUGUAAAAAUUUACUCAAUUCAUCACAUUAAUGCUAAAUCACUAUAUAUUUGACUUAAAUCCUAUACUAAUGCAUGGUGUGAAAUGCAAUAGCCAAAAACGGCUUAAACACGGUAUUAACUUAUUUUUGGUACUUUAUCCUAUAAAUUGCUAACGCGCUCCAUUUUAGCUCUAAAUUGUCCCAUUCUCUCUCCAACAUUUCUAACCAUUAAUUAUCAGCCAAUAUUCCUCUAAAAUCACCAAAAUCAGCUCACUCUCUUCCUUGGAAAAUUUGGCCAAAAAUGGGACAUUAACUCGGUUAAUUUUCCACUUUGUUUUUCUGUCACAUUUAAUCAUUUUUCUUCAUUUUCUCUUCAUUUCUCUUAGAAUAAAAAUCAGUUCAUUAUCAUUGGACAUCAAUGCAUAUUCAGCCAAAGGUGGGUAUUGUGGAAAUUUUAUGUUUUCUUGUCCAAUUUAAUUUCUAUACACAUUUAACUAACUAAAACUAUCAAUUUAACUAAAAAUCAAAACCUAAAAAUUUCAAAAUUUCUCCCCUAGAAUUUCGGCCAGCACAUGGUGUCACUCUUUGAUCUUUCUCCUCAAGCAUGCUAAAUGGAAAUAAAGGCAUAGGAAAGAUAGAAAUCAAGCUAAAAUCGAAAAAUCUUACCGUUAGACGCCUAAACGGACGAAAUUCGCGAUUUCCCCUUUGAAUUUUCUAGUUUCCCUUUGUUUUCUCCCUUUUCUUCCUUUCCUCUCUAUUUUCCUCUCUUGUUCUUCCUUAUGGCCGGCCAUCACUUAAAAUGGGGUUUAAAUGGGCUGACUUUUUAUUAAAAUAGUAUUAUAAUAUUAUUUUAUUUAUUUUUUUGUUUUAUUAAUUCCUUAAAUUCUAGCCAUCCAUUUGUUUCCAAAUUUUCACCAUAUACUUGUCCCACAUAUCCAUAGCUUAUAAAAUUUUUAGACUUAUCCAAAGUCUUGGUGGAGUAAUUUUUGAAAUUUACACUUUUGCCCCCGUAAAAGUCAAAAAUUAUAUUUUUACCCCAAAAACUGAAAAAUUGCCGAUAGAUAUAUUUUUCAUCCCUUAUACUCAUACCAUUCUCCAAUUUGUCAAAUGUAAUCUAAAUUCUCUCAAAAUCUAAAAUUUUAUCCACUGGUGGAAAAAUUACGAUUUUGCCCCUAAACAUCAAAAUUUUCAAUUUUUCCCCAAAUGAAUCCUCGAACUCCGAACAAUCAUUUUUAGUCAUUCCUUGACUAUAAAAUGUUAAAUUUCAUCCUACGAUUCCUAUUUGAACUAGUUCGAGGUUAAAUUAAUUCAAAUGUACCGUUAGGUACAAUAUCGAGUUUCGUCUAUUCUUAGGGACUUUCCUAGCAUAAUAACAUGCUACUCAGUGCAUGUGUAUUAUGACAUGUAUUUAUAGGGUUGGGUUUUACAAUAUCAUUUCACAUCUUUGCUGUCUUAACUAAUGGAAAGAACUUAGCGAAAAUUUUUUAGCCAAAUCAUCCUAAAUACUAAUGGAAUUAGCUGGAAGUGAAUUCAACCAACUCUUUACCUUGUCUUUCAGUGAAAAUGGGAAGAGCCUCAAUUUAAUAGCAUCAUUAAAAAUGCCAUUGGUCUUGAAUGUAAUACAAAUCUCCAUAAAUUCACAAUAUGUGUGUUAGGAUCAUCAUUCAGCAAUACCCCAAACUAAACUGAAGUCUAAAUCAUAUGAAUGAUGAUUCUAGACUAAAAAAUUAGUUCAACAUAAUUCCUAAAAAUAAAUUUAACCAUCAAAACUAAACAAGAAAGUAUAAUGAUAACAAGAAAAUAGCUCUAAUGUUUAUCAAGCCUUCAAUCUGCAAUCUUUCUUGCUAUCUUCAAUGCCUCUUUUCUUUAAGAAAAACCUUGCUUAAUUGUUCCUUAAAUUUGCUUUGAAAGAGGGGAUUAAAUAGAGCUCAAAUCCAUGUCAAAAUAAAAGUCUAAUUGCACCAAAACUCUCCCUUCACAUAUGGGAACCGUGGUCAUGGCCCAUUGGAACCAUGGCACUGAAUCCUCUGUUUCCUAAAAUGUCCUUGCCUUGUUUGGGUGUUGCAGCGCCCAUGCUUCCAUGAUCGUGGCACUCGACACUCUAUCUUGAAAUUUGAGGCUUUACUGCAAUACUUCUAAUUUUAACUCAAUUUUCUCCUUUUCAAGGCUGAAUUGGCAAACUGGUAAACAUGAAGGUUGUAUCUCUUCCUCUUAUCUUUCUAAUGGUUUAAAAUUCACAUUAAUUGGACUUUUGUAGUGAAAGAUAGGCUCAAAAUAUGGGAACAUGUGCAAUGGAAGUCUGUGCGUUAAAUGCAUCAUUCUUCUCAAAAUGUCACCCCUUUUAUAGCACACCUAUAAAAGCAACAAACUAACUUAUAUAAUAACUAAACUUAAAUCAAAAUGUCAUAAAAUUACCUAAAACAAUUGAACCCAAUAUAAUUAGAUUAAAUUAAAUAAUGAGUAAGAAUAACUAAUACUUAAAUUAAAUCUCAAGAACUCAAACAAAACACACCCAAAAUUGUGACCAGAGAACUCUAUACAAUAAAGUUAUCACAUCCCCAAACUUAAGCUUUUGCUAGUCUAUGAGCAAAACAUAAAAGAAUCUAAAACUAAAACAACUUAAAUGAUGAAAGGAAUCAUAAAUAAACCAAUUAACUAGAGAGAAGUAGUACCAACUCACUGAUCUCCAUAUUUUCCUCAAAAGUAUAUUUAUAAAUCUCUAACUCACGAUAAAAAAUAGGCAUAAUUCAAGUUCAUUUUUCAUUUCAAAUGCAAGCUUAUUCUCGAAUGAAAUUUCGUGUGUGUAUGCAUGAGCAAUUGUUUACAAAGAACAUCAUACCAGUGCAAAAUUUCAAAUUAGUACUAGAAUUCCAUAGGUUUGUUUUUCAUCUUUCUCUCCACUAAUGUAGACUAAUACUAAGCCAAGGAUCAAUAGGUCUUUAUUAAGCUUGUAAUGUAUGGCUAGGGUCAAGGUAGGAUAAAGGAUAUUAAUGCGACUUAAAUCACCCUAAGCACAUAAUCAUUCUAGGACUUAUAUGGAGAUCUUAUUCUGAUUCUUCACAUACACCUUUUCUUCAACUUUGAACUUUUCUUUCGUUCUACACUUUAUAUCUUUUUUUUUCAUCACAAUUAAACACCUCAAACUUAUUUCUUUCUAUUGUAGGUAGUGGGGUGAAUACAUAACAUAUUCAAUAUCUAGCUCAAUACACUUCCUAAAAUGAUAUACAUACCUAUGAGUGAGGGAUGCAAAAUUGGAAAUUUAUUUAAAAGGAUAGGCUAAAAUAAUUAUGUGGUUAAACAAAAAAAAAAGGAAAAAUUAGGCUCAAUAGGGUAUACUAGGGAUAAAUAUAUAACAAGAUUAGCUUGAAAGGCUUAAACAAUACAAAGAUGUCCCAAAUCAUCUCCUUAACUAAGUAUUGCCUACGAUUUCGCCUUAAGAGAGAAUCAAUGUGCCACGACAUCGAGAGGAAAAAUAUGAAGAAUUAGUGUAGAAAAUAAAAGGGAUACAUGUUGAUUAAUGUUUUAUGGGUUUUACAGCUAUUCUAAGCCUAUAUUAAGAGCUAAGCAAGCCUAAUUAGGGAAACUAGGUUAAGUUAGUGGUAUUUAAAGAGAGCUUGAGGAGUAGUUAGCCAUAAGAAGACAGCCUUAAGAGAGAUUUCAGAAUUUAAAACUUGAGGUUGAAGGUUGAAGAUUAAAGCUGCUAAUAUUUGUUUUUCUUCUUCCUUAGCUUUUAUUAUUCUUGUAACUCUUGAUGGCUAAACUUCAUAUGUUUUUAUUUAUUAUUGCAAUUAUGAGUAUAUAAUUUCUUUUAUCAAGGAUUGCAAUUGAACUCACAUGUAAUUUAAAUUUUUAAUCUCUUUCUUACUUAUUUUUAAUGGAUUUGGAUUGUUUAUUCCAAUUUGUUUUUAAUGCUUUUAAUUGACUGAUCACCAAUUAAAUUAAUCUAGAAACCUUAACAUAACUUGAAAGAGGGAGUCUAGAGUAGGCUAAAAUUGGAAUAGCAUAUGAUCAUAUUUAUUUGCUUGGAUGAAUAAAUUGAUUUGUGUAUAAGAUAGAGAUAUACCUAUAUGUUGUAUGCAGCCAAGAUUAGAGUCUAAACUUAAUGAGUUUGUUUUAAUUUCAAUUCACAUAAAAAUAUAGUGUUUUGAUUAAAAUAGAUAUUUUUAUAAGAGUUUCAAGAGAGUCUAAUAAAUAAUUCAGGAUUUUAAGUUAGCAAUUUAACCCAUUGGAAUAAGCUAAGAGAGGGAGGUAAGCUUUAGAUAAAGUGUCAGGGAUAUUGUAAUCCUAGGCUUGUUUGAGUUGAUUUUUAUCUAAAUUUAUUACUGCUUUGAUUUUUAGAUUAAUUUUUUGUUAAUUAGAUUUAGUUAAUUUUUAAUUUAUUUAGUUACUUGAUUUUGUUUGUUUGUUUGGAUAAGACUAAAUUGUGUUAAUUUUAGUACUUAGCUAAAUUUUAUAUUAAUUAUUUGUGAGAUCGACACUCUGCUUACCAUUAAAUUAUCUGUUCGAAAUGUAUCUUGUGUGGGUAGAAAAUUAGAACAACAAUAUUAACAAGCAAUAUCAAUCAAGCAUUUCUAGGAAAUUCUCAAAUUCAUAUAUAAAAAAACAACUCAAGGAGAAUAUUCUUCAAAUCAUGUAUGAAAUAAUCAAUUCAAGGUGAAUUUUCACAUCAAGAAAAUAUCAUUAUUAAGGAAACAUUACCAAAGUAUUUUGCACUUGUUCUAAUUAUGUAAGAGAAUAUUAUAAUCAAGUAAGCACAAGCAUAAUUAAAAAAAAUAAAAUAGCUAUCUUCAUUAAUCAUGAAUCUAAUUUGUUUAACAAAAUGCAAGCAUGAUUUCAAUUUCAUAAGAAUAGACAUAUACCCAUUGAAAAAUAUGCAAGUAUUGAACUUCAAUGUGGUACAUGCUAUUUCUCAAUAAUCCUCAUAAUUCAUGAGUGUGGAAUAUUGAAAAUAACGCACUCAACUCAUUAAUAUGUCAAAAGUGAACAUCCAAGCAUUAAUGAAUAUUAAUUACCAAGAUUCAAGAAAUGAGUAUUCAUUCUAAACACGUUAAGCAUUCAGUGCUCACUUAUUAAGUCAUAUCUCAUUUGACAUUUUAGAUUAUUUAUAAUAACCUAUAAGCUAGAGUGGAUGCACACCAAAUUUUUAGAUCAUGUGAACUUUUUAAGGCUCAAUGAAGACAUAGUAAUAUUCAAAUGCAUAUUCAAAGGAUAUUUCAACUAUGUCAACACAAACUCUAUGUCAUGAUCACACUUGACUUCAGUUAUGAAGUUAAGCACUAUAAGCAAUUCUAUCACUUAAGUCAAGUUAUAGAAUUCAAUCAUUAAGGUCAAGCAAGAUUAAAAGUCAGUUAAUCAAUUGACUUGACGAAAACAAUAGAUGAAUAAAAAAAAUAAUUAAGUUCAAUGAUUUCAUCCUAAUUAAUUUUAUGAGCUUAGGCAAUGAUUCAAUCUUGAAACAAUCAUUUAAGUACAAACAUGAAACAUAUUUCAAGAAUUGUUCGUAGAUUAAGAAUUUGAACAUUUAAAUUCUCAAGACAUGAUUUUCAAUGUAAGCACAUGAGAAAUAAUAAAAUCAAGCACUUAUGAACAAUUUCUCAUUUUUCAAAAUUUCUCAUUCAUGCACAAAAGAAUUAAUAAUAUUAAUAUGAGCGCCAUGUUUUGGAAUAAAUGGAUUCAGGCAUUCAUGAAAGUUUUCCCCUUUUUCAACAAGUUUUUCAUUUUCAUGAACAGUAUUUGCACCAAAAGAUUAUGAGAGCGUUCAUAAUGCACGAUUUUGGAGACCAAGAUUGUUUUUUAAGCUGUACAGAAUCAUUUUAAUUGGUUACAAUGAAAUUUAACCGAUUAAAACUUUACUAAAUAUGAACCCAAUUUGAAAUAAAACUAUUUUAAUCAAUUAAAGUAAACUUUGAUUGCAUAAAAUGUUACUGACUUCUUACACUUUUUUCACGCAGGCACAUUUUAAUCAGUUAAAAGACUUUUUAAUGAAUUAAAACAAACAAAAUUCUAUUUCAAAAUCAUUUUAAUCAAUUAAAACAUAAUUUUAAUCAGUUAAAAUAUUACUAUAAGAACUUAAAAUCACUUUUAAUUGAUAAAAACCAGAAAUUAAAGCACAAUGGCCACACAAUUUCAUCAAAAACAUAUUCAAAUCAAUUCAAUCCAAGUUCAUUCACAUAAGACAUUCCUAAUUCACUUUUAAUUUUACAAAAUUUGUCUUCACUCAAAGGUUUUGUGAAAAUAUCAACCAAUAGAUGCAAGGUAUCAACAAAUUCAAAUUUAACAUCUCCCUUAAGCACAUGAACUCUAAUAAAAUGAUGUCUAAUCUCAAUAUGCUUAAUUCUAAAGUGCUGAACAGGAUUCUUUUAGAUGUUAAUGGCACUUACAUUACAUAAAAGAUAGGAAUGUUAUGCAUGGGCAUGCCAAAGUCAUUCCAUUGUUGCUAAUCCAUAAAAUUUAUGCAAAACAACUACCUAUUGUAAUGUAUUAAGCUUCAACAGCAUGAUUGAAAUCUUGCACAUAAGCACACAUUAAACAAUAUAUUACGUUUACUUGCUGUUAAAUAAAGAAAUGAACCAAUCAUACCUUUAUAAAGCUUUUUGUCCACAUCCUUUCCUUUUCAUCUUUAUCAAGCUUUGCAGAAUGAUGUAUAGGUGUUUCAAUUGACUUUACUUUCAUCACACCAAACUUCUUCAACAUUUCCUUAGUGUAUUUUGCUUGGUUGAUGAAAAUCCCAUCUUCACAUUGCUUGAUUUGUAGACCAAGGAAGAAAUUUGUUAGUUUUAAUAGCUUGAAAAUGAUAAGAGUUUUCACAUGACAAAAAUGAUCAAAAUUCCUUGUCUAAGUGAUCCUUGAAUAACUUAAGUGAUUCUUAAAUGUUUUUCAUAUGUUUUUAUGCUUCCUUACUUGAUUAACAUUUGAAGUUGUUUUGUGAAAGGAAACAUCAAUUCUUGCAAGAUGGAAUACUUAGACAAGUUUCUGAAAGCUCAAGAAUCGAUUCCAAUAGUCAAGAAGAUGAUUUUUGCAAGUUUCGGUGUAGAAAGAACAAAUAUCUGGAAAGGAAAAAAUUGAUUCUUAGUCAAGGAGAACUAAUAUCUGGAGAGAUAAGAAUCAAUUCUCAAACAAAAAGAACUAACUUCUCAGACACAAAGAACUAACUUCUCAAGAAUAAAGAAUUUAUUCUUUGAAAGCAUAAAGCUCCAAACCAAAGAAAAACUGACAUCUUAAGAAAAAGAAUUGAUUCUCAGACUCCAAAAGUAGUCUUAGACACAAAAAGAUAAGAAAAUUGGCCAGUUUCUUCACAAAAUCAUCUUUAACAGCUAUAAACUUUUUCCAACUAUAAAAAAGACUUCUUCAUCACAUUUUGGAAGAAAGAAAAGUUGAGAAAAUAAUCAUUUGAUCAAGGAUCAAAUGAAAUGUAGAAGAAGAGGAAAAAGAGAUAAAAACCAAGCUAAAGCAAGCCCCUCAUAUUCUUUCAAAAAGCUUGUGAGCUACCUUGUGCUUCAAAUUCUUUACGCUUUCACUCACAUUUUUUGCAAUCAUUCUUUAGCUCUACCAAACUCUUCCUUCAUGCACUUACUAAGCAAAACCAACCUUCUAGAGGCAUUAUUUGCUUUGAGCUUGUAAGACAAAAAAUGUUAUGCUUGAACCUUUAAAAGGCAAUUUGGUAAAGGUUUUGCCUGAUCCUUGAAAAGGCUAAAGUUUUGCCUACUUUGUGAAAAGGUAUUGUGUGGGUUAUGCUUGCUCCUAUGAAAAGGCAAUGUUGUAAAGGUUAUACUUGAGCCUUGAAAAGGGAUUUUCAUAUUGGAUUAUAAACUCCUUGGUGAGCUAAGGGAUAGGAUAUAGGUGCCUAUAAAGAGGCUCGAACCUCUAUAAAUGAUAUGUCUUUUCUCUUAUCUCUUUACUCUUAAAUUUUUGCACUUUUUCUUUACUCUUCACUACUUCUUACUUAUGCAUUUUACUUGGCUGUGAAAAGGUUUGAACAUUUUUUUUAACUUGUUUUUUUCUCCGACUCACUUUUAACUUAAUUUGAAAUACUUAUGCUUUCUACUUUGGCUUGAAAAGUUUUGAAAAUUUGCAUUUAUCUUGAUUUAUUCGUUGAUUUACUCUUCAAGUUACUUUACUAUCAUGACCCAAAUCUAGAGGGUCCGUGACUGGUGCACGAGCUCAGCAGGCAAGCCCAUUAGACUCGAGCAAGCCUUAGAGUCCAAAAUCAUAUAACAUAAGCCGAGGGAUUUAAUAAUCAAAUAUUCACAAUAAAUUCAAACAUAAAUACAUUAUCCCUGGCACAUAGUUUAUACAAAUGGUCAAAAGGUCAUACAUUGGCCAAACAAGGUGGGUUCGUACAUAACAACCCUUACACACAAUAUAAUAUGGCACUUAGUGCCUACACACAUUAUCCACAGUGGAAGGCUUUAACCGACUCAACGAAGUGACCAAAACAGAGAACCUAUCGGAUGGCAAAAUUGAUCUGUCGUUAGACGACCUUUAACAUUCAGCUCUAAAGCUUAUUUAUUUGCACAUGGUAUACAAAUGGGUGAGUACCAUAAUACUCAAUGAGUGGUGCAGAUAAACAAAAUCAUAUAUACAUUAAACACAUAUAAGAAAUACAUGCACUAUUUGUGCAUCUAGUGUUCUAGCAAACAUCUCUGAAUAUAGGGCAUAUCAUUAUACCUAAAAUCUCCAAUGUGAGGGUAUAACAUCAUCCUCAAUGCCUCUAUAGAUCAUCACAUAUAUCCCUAGGCUUACCUUUGAAGUCGAUUAAUGUUAUUCAAAUCAUUACCACGGCACACUUUAGUUGCUGGAGUAUCACAUCAAGAUCAUGUCAUGUUCAUGUAAGCCUUUCACAGCUAUCUCUUGUCAUAUACAAAUCAACUCAAUGAGUGGUUCUCCCCUAGACAUAACAAAAUCAUGCUCGGUGGCCAAUUGGUGGAGAAUCAAAUCACGUACAGGGAAAAUCCACUAGCGAAGAAUGAAUCACGCGUGUGCCGAAGCAACGGGCGAAAAACAGAUCAUGCUCAGUGCCGAAGCAGUUAGCAAAAAGUCAAAAUCAUCGACCGAAGUAAUCCCCUAACGGUUGGCAUCAUACACUAUAGGUGGGAAUCAUAGGCGGGAUAUCAACCAUUGCCCCUACUAACCACCGUCCCUAUGGCACAAUCAUAGUCACAGGGUAUCAGACUCCAUUCAUCCAUAAAUUAGAUCAACAUCCAGAAUUCAUCCCUCGGAUAGAAACACAAGUCCACAAAUAAGGACAUCAUGCCUUUAUCAUUCACAUUUUCUCAAUAAACCACAAAUGACAUUCAUCAAGCUUCAAUCAUCUAUAAGCUUGUUAAGGUUUUGGAUGUCUCUAAGUCUCCAAGGUAUUAUUCAAUCAAAUCAUUUUAACAUAUCAAUCACUUAGGGUAAUCCACUCCUAGGGGUUCAACAUAGCCUACAAACCUCCUAGUAUAGGCUUAUGCAACAUAGGCCACCCAUAUGGCUCACGUCAAAACACACAAACACAUAAUCCACAGUUUGGUUAUGUAGCCUAGGCACUUACAUAUAGGCAAUCAUAUAUAUAUAUAUAUAUAUAUAUAUAUAUAUUGAUAUAUACACAUACACAUAAAUCAUGUGUUCUCGAGCCUAGGAAUGUUCAUCUAAGCCUACAUACAAAAUCUAGUACCAGUGCAACGCAUUUUCCAUGCGUCAUGCAUUACAUGCAUUUUAUUUAACCCACUCAUAGUGACAAUAGGAGGCACUCCUUGCCAAGCUUCGAUCUUUAGCCUCCGAUCAUCAUUUAGCUUGCCAAUGAGUUGAUUUAACUUCGUUUCCCCCUUCAAACACAUAAAAACAUCUACACAUUAAUUAUUCCUAACUUUGAAAAACUGCUAGCUUUUCACCCAAUUAACUAAAUCUUAGCAAUCCAACUAUUUAAGCUCAAAUCUUUCAUUAAUGAGCUAAACCCAUACUUUAGAAACUGGAUUGCACUAGUCUUAGCUCCAAAUUCUUCAAUCCAAGCCAAAGAAGGAAAAAUACCAAAUUUGGAGAAAAAUCAAAUUCGAAUUAAUUAACUGAUUAAAUUGAAAAAUAAUUAGUAAAAACAUUAAAUUUUACCUCUAAAAUGGUUUCCCAAUCUCUAAAUAGCUUUAAAUCCCUUAAAAAAUCCAUUUAGGGCCUUAAGGUUUUAGGUUUUUAAAGAGAGAAUGGGAGAAAAGAGCUGAGAGAAAGAAAUAGGGCAAAAUGGCCCGGCACCCCUUUUUAUUUUUGCCUUUUCUCUUUGAUGUAUCUAUACCUUUUGUCAAUGUAUCGAACAUUUGCCCUAACUUCGAACUAAUGUGUCGAUACAUUGAGGCAAUGUAUCAAUACAUUUCGAGCAGAACAGCCUUGGGUGUAUUCUACUUCAAAUGUAUCGAUACAUGUUCAUAUUUGACCAAAUCUAUCCACACAUUCUUGAAUGUAUCGAUAGAAAAUCCUUCUGGGGUCUUUAUUAUUCAUCCUGCCAUGAACGUAUUGAUACAUUUGGGGUAUGUAUCAAUACUUUCACCCCUGUAGGUAGUUCUAAGCUUCCAAAACUUCCAAAAAUCCAAGUUCAACACCCCAAACUCAUUCCUUGUUAAUAUCACAUCUCAAAUCAUUCACUUAACUUAAUCCCAUACAUAUAAAUUCAUAACGAUAACAUCAAACUUAGAUCAAAACCUCAAACUAUGGGAUUUAUCACAUGUUUCAUCAGAACUUUGCCUAAGUGUCCACAUAUACCCUCUUACAUUUGGCAUACAUAUCAUGUCAUCAAAGUCCUCAAGACUCCAUAUUUUUCAUAAAUCAUUUUUAGUCUACAUCAAAAAAAUUAGGGGUGUUACAUUUACACUUUUGAUUUAUGCACUUCACUCUAAAGAGUUUUAGAAUCUAUUUUCAACUUACUUGCUCAUUUUAUUUCCAAAUUAUUUUUAACAUGUUUUAAAGUGAGAGCAAGUUUUAAGAAUUUCCUUCUUCUCAAACGUAUUCUUUUUACUUUGAAGAAUAUUUUGAAACUCAUUACUCAUUCACUUUCACUUUUAUACUCGUGUGUUUUCACUUUAUUAUGAAGAGAUUUAAAUUUAUUAUUUUCAAAUUUGUUUUUCAAUUCAUUCUUCAAAGGAUUGACAUAUUUGUUUUUAAACUUAUUCUUUUACUCGCUUUUCAAAUCCUUUUUGAUAUGUUUGCAUAUUUUAUUUUAAAAAGUUCUAAAAUUUUGUUUUCAACUUGUUUGUUCAUUUCUUGUGAUUUGUUUCAAAAAGAAAACAAUUUUGAAAAAACUUGUCAUCAAGCUUCAAAGUUCAAAUUGUUGGAAAGAAUUUUUUUGGAAAUCCAAGUCACCCCUCAUCGUGGAUAUUUUCCUCAUUAUUAUUGAGCUAACACAUUCCUAAAAAAAUUUAAUUCUCCCAUCAUACUCAUUUUAAAUUCAUCCUGCAUUUCUUUAACACAAUUCUCACAAAAUUUUUCAUUAGUAGCACCAAACACUCUGUCAUCCACAUAAAUUUAAACAAUAAGUAUAACAUUUUUGUCAUUUCUAAUGCAAAAAGUAGUAUUUACACUCUCCCUAGAAAAUCCCUUUUUUAUAAAAAAUUUUGAAAAUAUUUUAUACCCAGCUCUAGGACCCUGCUUUAAUCCAUAUAAAGCUUUAUGCAAUUUAUAAACAUGAUCAAUCUUUUCAAAAUCUUCAAAACCAGGAGGUUGUUCAAAAUAAACUUCUUCUUGAAUAAAACCAUUUAGAAAUGCAUUUUUAACAUUCAUUUCUAAUAAUUUGAAAUUCCUAUAACAUGCAUAUGCAAGCAAGAGUAUAAUUGCUUCAUAUCUCACUAUGGAAGAAAAAAUUUCAUUGUAAUCAAUACUUUCCUCUUGAUUAUAGCCUUGAGCAACUAACCUUGCUUUGUUCCAAGUACCCACUUGGUACCAAUGUUACGAUGGUUGGUUGGCCUUGGAAGUAAGGUCCAACCCUUGUUCUUUUCAAAGUGGCCAAGAUUUUCUUGCAAUGCAAUCAUCCAACUUUCUUCCUUUUUACCUUCUUCAAAGUUCUUAGGUUCUACUAGUGAAAUGAGUGUCACACAUUCACAAGUUUUCCUUAGUCUUCUUUCAGAAUUGACAUCUUUCAAGGGAUCUCUAAUGAUUUGCUCUUGAGGAUGAUUUCUUAUAGAUCUCUAGCUUCUAGAAAGAUCAUUAUGUUGAUUUUCAAUGCUUUGCAAAUCCUUUAGUGGUGGUUCUUCUUCAUUUCUUUCCUUGGAGCUAUCUUCAUUAUCUUCUUUGUUCUCCAAGCUCAUUCUUUUCAUUCUUUUCUCAAUUUCAUCUGCAUCAUCAUCAUCAUCAAGCACUACCUUUCUUGGUGCGGCAUUAGUGUCAUAAGAACAAUAUGAAUGGACUCUUCUAUAACAAAAGAUCUUUUAUUAAACACUCGGUAGGUGUUAACCUUAAGUUAUAUCAUGUUUUGAUUUCACAAAAAUCACAUGUUUUCUUGAACCUAAUGUCAAGCAUUUGAAAUUGUCUUAAAUACAUUGUUAAUCCCGUAAGGUUACAUAUUUGUUGGAAAGCCAUGCAUCUUUAGAAAAAACCUUAUAAUAUUUCAAACAAUGCAUUUUCAGCUAAGAAAUCAAGAGCAAACAUGCCUUGAAAUGUUUAUUUUAAUAUAGAUAUAAGGCAGAAAGGAAGUAAUUAGAGAGAAAUAUAAAAAAGCUAAGGAAACCUCAAGACACAAGCCAAGAGUCGAUCUUAGAGAAGCUCAAGUCAAUCUAAAGGCUAAAAGAAUGGAAAACAUGAAGAUUACACAGCCACACUCAACUACAGAGGAAGCCUAGUCGACCUUGAUAAGCCAAAAGCAAGAAAAACUCAAGAUUACAUAGCCAUAGUCGAUUAUAGAAAAGGUAUAGUCAACCUCAACAAGUCAAAGGCUAAAGAAAGUCAACUUUAAACAAAUAUAGUUGACUAUAAGAGAUGCAUUGUCGACUUUAAAAGGCCAGAUUUGAAAAAUAAAGGCUAUCGAGAAAUUGAUCGACUAGAGGAAGAUUAUACUCGACUAUGGAAACCCUAAUUGAGAAAUUUGAUGAAUGUAGUUGACUUUAAGAGCAUUAUAGCAGAUCUUCAAGCUUCAGCAACGACCAAAUUUGAUUCAAACUUAUGUUUAAUAGCUUUAAAACUUGCCCUAGCUAUAAAUAGAUGCAUUUAAGCCAUUUUGAAGUAGAGAAGAUCUGAACCAAAGCUUCAAACCCUAGAGAGACUACUUACAAGCUCAUCUUCACUCUUUAGCAUCUCUUUAGUCUUCCAUCAAGCUUUCUGUCAUGACCCAAAUUUUGGGCCAUGACCGGUGCGUGGGCCUAAUGGACGUAGUCCACUAAGCCCAAGCAAGCCUAUUAAUUUGACAUGUUCAUCAUUCCAUCAUAAACUGCUAAGUCAUAUAUCAUAACUUAGAAUCAAAAUAAUAUUAAGCAUUGCCACUUCAUACUGGCAUACCAAACAAGUGUAUAUACACUGUCUACACUUGUAUCUUAAUAAUUCACAUUAGGUUCGUCUAUACAUAACAAAAGGAGACUCGAUGUCCAGCGGAGAGACUCAAAUGAAUGUACAGCUACUGAAUGCCGAGACACCUACUAGAAGAUGGAUACAAGUCCACGAGGACACCUCGUCCUAGUUACCGAUUAUCUCUUAAUCUAAAAAUAUGAAGUUGAAAGCGGUGAGCAUAAACUCAGUGAGUGAACAAGAAGGGAACAAGCAUACCAUAAGGAAUGUUUAUCGAAAUCAUGAUGCACUCAUUUUCUUAAAAUAAUGCAAUUUGUUCUAGUUCUUAGUAGAACCUCUCAUGUAAACCCCUCAUGAGUAAAUCACUUAAAAGAUCCAUACUCAACUAUGUACCAAAGAAUCGGAAAAUAUAGCAAAACCCACAAGUUAGCCAAAAUGGACAGAAAGUUUCUCGCUACAGCGAACUUCAUUCUCGCUGCAGCGAGAACCAGGUCUGGUGAAGGCCCUCAAACUCGAGAGUUUCUCGUUGCAGCGAGAGUCAAAACAUCAAGGAAAAAGUCUCAUUUUCCUUUAAAACAAGCCAUCUUGUAAAAUAACAAUAGCAACAUGUAACACAUGUAAACUCCCAAAUUUUAACAAAAUCAAAUGCUCACAUAUUUUCAUUUACAACCAUAUACCAUAUAUGUAUAUAUAUAUAUAUAUCAAUCAUCAUAUACACCCUCCCAUCAUCAUCAUCUCAUAUGCAAUGGCUUAUGCAUACUCCCACUCGCAUAUAGCCGAGUCAGCAACGGCUUAUGUGUACUCCCACUCACACAUAACCGGGUCAGCAACGGCUUAUGUGCACUCCUAUUCGCACAUAGCCAGAUCAGCAACGGCUUAUGUGCACUCCUAGUGGCACAUAGCCAGGUCCACAUCAACAUGCAAAGAAGCAUCCAAUGCAUAUCAUGCAUUUUAUCAUAUUGUGAUAACACAUAAACCAUUGUAUAGCACAUUUUCAUAAUAUAAAAUCAUUUUACUAAAAGCUUGUUCCCAAAGUACAUAUUCUGAGACAAGUUGGAUAGAAUCUUUCAUAUUCCCCAAAAGAAGUUUGAAAUGCAAGUCCACUCACCGGUAUUCGUUGAGCCUUAGCCGAUUCUUAAUCCCCCUAAUUAUCCAAUUGGGGUGAUGAGGCUUCGUUAGCACCUACCAUCAAAUUAACAUUUCCAUAAUGUCAAUUUACAUACUAUAACCCUAAAAGCUAUCUUUUAGCUAGCUUUCAAUUGCCAUUUAAGUGGCCAUCCAUUUUCACUUUCCUAUCACUCCAAAGUGAAUUAAAAAUCUCAACUACAAAAUAUUCACAAAUCAAAUCUCUAGUCAUUCUCAACACUUAAAACCCAAUACUAGUUUACUACUUACCUUGAUAGCUUUGUAACUUUGAACUUCUUUCCAAAAGCUCUCAAGCUAUUAAUAAAUAUUCCUCUUUCUCUUUCUAAAACACCUAACUAGUGAGAGAGUAUGAAAACAAGAUUUUCAUCACUUUCAAGGGUUUUAAAGUGGGAAAGUGGAAGAAUACAAGGGUUCUAGUCAAAAGGGCACCAAGGUAUGAAAAUUAAAGUUAGAAAGAGAAAGUUAUGAAAGCUUCACAUCAAGCUUCCAUGGAGGAAUUGACGAAAUGUGAGAGGGAAGAGAACAAGAAGAAGAAGCUACUGGAAAUCUUAAGAAGUUGCUAGAAGGAGAGCAUAUUUAUUUCCCAAGCUUAUCCACUCCCUUAGAAAUUACUAAAAUGCCCUUCCACAAAUUAGCUUAAUCCUCGAAAUCCCACACUUUUUCUUCAAUUUUCCCACCUAGGGUUUGUGUUCCUUCCUUUCCUCUUCACUUCAUGCUUUGGCCGGCCAUAUGAGUGAGAUUAAGAGAGUUUUAAAUAGAUUUUACAAGGAUAUUCUAGAAUAAUCCAAGCUUGACACAUGGCAUGUUUCCAUUGGUUCAUGUGUAAUACUUAUCCAUUAAGCAAUCUCUCUACACCACAUAAAAUGUUUCAAUUAUCCACAAUGUAAAAUGUUAAUGGCUGAAAUCCAUGGGCAUGACAAGUGUCAGGUGGUGUAAAAUUCCAAAAUUCCAACUUUGCCCUCGUAAACUCAUAAAAUUAUCGUUUUGCCCCUAGGACUCAAAAAUGUUAGAAUUUAAAUUUUUCACCUCUCAAACUCAAAUCAUACUCCAAUGAGUCAAAUGUGAUCAAAAUCUUUUUCUAAAAAUUCCCAUUUUGUCCUCGAGUGACAAAAUUACCAUUUUGCCUUUAGAACAUGAAAAUCAUCAAAAUUUUUAUUUCCUUGUCAUUUCACCCAUAUUUUCAUCAUUCAUUUAUACUUUAGGCCUACUUAAGCCAUAAUAUUGUUUAAAACUUACUUUUAUGGGCUUAAUUGAGAAAAUGAUAAAAUUACCCUUGAUUAGGGAUAUCGCGUAUAUUUCUAUCUACGAGUCUAUAAAGGUCAAGGUCUCACACUUUCAAAGUUGAAUCUUUACUUCAAUCAAGCUAAAAUUUCUUCUUUCACUAUACCUAAGCUAAAAUCUCUAGCAUCUAGCCUUUAUGAGGAAAAUCUAUGCUAUUACUCCUUUUUACAUACAUUUUGUAAAGGUUUUAGCUUAACCUUGAAAAGCUAUCUUAUAAGGGUUAUUGCUUUCAAUUUAAAAAAAAAGAAUCUUCUAUGGAUUGUGUGAUUUAUCGCUUCAUCUUGUGAAAAAGCAAGAAUACCUUUGUGGAUUCUGUAAGGGUUAUCGCUUGAUCCCGUAAAAAGUGGUUGUAAGAGUUAUCGCUUGAUUUGGUGAAAAAGCAAGAAUCCCUUUUAUGGAUUAUGUAAGGGUUAUUGCCUCUUAAUAAAAAGUAAGAAUCCUUGAUAAUUGAUUGAAAUUUCUCGGUUAAAGAGGGAAUAGAUAUAGGAAUCGAAAAAGCAGAACCGCUAUAAAUCAUUUAUGUCUUUCUUUAGUUUUCACAUUAUUAUUUAUUCUUUAUACUUUCUUUACGAAAAUGGAUUUAUAUCGAUUUAUUGUUUUUCUCUUAGGAAAAUAUUUUUCCUUUUCUUUUCAUAGCUAGCAUUUAUUUCAAGAAAAAUAUUUUACCUUGAUUCAUUAUUUUUAUACUUAAUGAUUUACUGUUCAAAAUUUGUUUUUGAUAUUAGAAAAUAUUUUUGGGUGAAAAAGGUUUGAUUUUUUAUACUUAGAUUUUCAAAGAAAUUUUUAAUAUUUCAAUUCACCACCUCUUAAUAUAUUGUUCAUUAAAACUUCUACAAUAACAAUUAGUAUCAGAGCUUGGUCUUAAAUUUGUAGGUCUAACCAUAUUUGAGAGAACCUUUGUAGAAGAUUAAUUUGAAAAAAAUGGAGGUUAUGGCAACCAUGCUUGGUGAAGGGCAAUCGAUCCAAAGACCACCUCUCUUUGUAGGUAAUAAUUAUCCUUAUUGGAAAAAGAUAAUUGAAAUGUUUAUUCAAUAUAUGGAUUUGGAUGUGUGAAAUGUGAUAUUAGAGGCCCUAAUGUUCCAUAUAAGUUAAUAGAAAGAAAAUUAGUGAUUAAACCUAGAGAUAAAUGGAGUGAUAGAGAUAAGAAAUUAGUUCAAACAAAUUGUAAGGCAUAUAAUAUUCUUCUUUGUGCCUUGAGUGUUAAAGAAUAUAAUAGAGUCUCUAUGUGUGAAAAUGCCAACCAAAUUUGGGAUACUUUAGAGACCACAUGUGAAGGAACUAACCAAGUUAAGGAAUCCAAAAUUGGGUUGCUUAUCCAUGAUUAUGAACUUUUUAAGAUGAGAGAGAGUGAAUCAAUAAGUGAGAUGUUUGAAAUGUUCACCAAAAUUAUAGAAAGUUUGAAAGCUUAAGGGAAAGACUUCUCAAAUGCCCAAUUUGUGAAGAAAAUUCUUUAUAGCCUACCUAAAUCUUGAUGACCCAAAGUAACAACUAUAGAAGAAGCUAGGAACCUUAACAACUUUAAGUUAGAAGAGUUUAUAGGAUCCUUACUUACUUAUGAAAUGACAAUUAAGCAUGAAAAUGAGAGAGAGGAACCUAGGAAAGAAAAGGUCAAACAAAAGAAAGUUGCUUUUAAAUCCAUAGAUUAAAAAGAGGAAAGAGUCAUAAAAAUUCAUAAUGAGAGUGAGGAACACAUAGCUAUGCUAGCUAGAAAAUUCAAUAAGUUCAUAAUAAAAAACUAUAGAAAUAGAAAACCUAUAAAGAGAAAAGUGUCUAAAGUGAAGCAUUCAAAUGAUCAUUUGACAUGCCAUGAUUACAAAAAGCCGAAAGACACCAAAUAUGAGUACCCAAGCAAGAAAAAAGUCUCAAGAGUUUCCAAAAAGAAGGUGAUGAUUGUAACCUCAAUUGAUGAUGAUGAUUCUCAAGAUUAUGAGGUUACAAACUCUUGUCUCAUGACAUUUGAUGGCUACAAGGAAGGACAUGAAUGUUUAACGUCAGUAGCACAACAAAAUGGAAAAUGGUACCUUGAUAGUGGAAGCUCUAAACACAUGACCAGUAGUAAGGAAUCCUUCAAAGAAUUGAGGCCAAAGAAGGGAGGUAAUUUAACUUUUUGUGAUGACUCAAAAGGUCACAUUGAAGGUAUUGGUACAAUUGGUAAGAAUUCUUCAUCUCAAAUUGAAAAUGUUUUAUUUGUUAGUGGACUUAAGCAUAAUUUAUUAAGUGUUAGUCAACUUUGUGACAAAGGUCUUAAGGUCAUUUUUCAAUCUUUAAUUUGUCAUGUUAUAGAUGCUAAGAAAAUAAAGUUAUUUUUGUUGCUUAAAGACAAAGAUAUACAUAUGUUGUUUAUCUUGAUGAGUUGUCUUCAAACAACGUAUGCUUCAUGAGUAGGAGAAAUAAGAAUGCUUGGUUGUGGCAUAGGAAACUAGGACAUAUUAGUAUGAACGCAGUUGCAAAAUUGUCAUCCUUAUAUCUUGUAGUAGAACUUUCGAAGCUAAAAUUUGAGAACAACAAACUUUGUGAUGCUUGUGCCAAAUGUAAACAUAGGAGAAUUUCUCUUAAAUCCAAAAAGAAUGUGACCACAAUUAGGGCAUUGCAACUUCUUUAUAUAUAUUUGUUUGGCCCAACUAGGACUAUAAGCUUAAGUGGAUAAAACUAUGGAUUAGUGAUUGUUGCUUAUUACACUAGGUUUUCAUAUGUUUAUUUUAUUGGGCAUAAAGAUAAGGUCCUAAAAACAUUUACAUCAUUUUGCAAGAGAGCUGAAAACGAAAUGGGGUAUGCUAUUUCAAACAUUAGAAGUGACCAUGGCAAAGAAUUUGAAAACUUAGGUUUUGAUCAAUUAUGUGAAGAAAAUGGUUAUGGUCAUAAUUUUUCAGCCUUUAGGACCCCAUAACAAAAUGGUGUAGUAAAAAAGAAGAAAAGAACUUUAGAAGAAAUGCCUAGGACUAUAUUGUGUGACAAUAAUUUACCAGGAUAUCUAUCACAGCCCAAUUUCCAAGCCAUGACCCGCAAGGGCCCAAUAGGCUCAACGCACUAAGCCCAAGCAAGCCUAUUUAUAUAAUCUUAUACAUUAAUCCAUAUUUCUUUAAAAUCCAAAAUUUCAUAGUGUUCAAAUGUAGUUCCUUUCGAAACAAUUCAUAAAACCCAACUAUUCAUUCAGAAUGGCAUCAUCAACCAUAAUAUACAUAUAUAGUUUGACAAAUGAAUCUCAGCAUUUCACAACAGGUAUUCAUAUAAAUGUAAUUAGACCUUGACCGUCAGCGGAGUGACUUUGGGCACGAUUGCUAACACUUAGUGCCACGUUAAACCUACCGAGCAAUGGAUAAAGAAGAACACCUCGUCCUAGGAUCCAAUCACCUUUGACUCAGAAAACCUAAAACAUGAAGAUUAAAAACGUGAGUAUAAACUCAGUGAGUGAACAUAAGAAGGGAACAAGCAACGUUAAGGAAGGUUUAGAAAUCAUGAUGCACUUAAGUUCAAAAACAAUGCAAUUUAGUUCAUUUCUUAUUAAAAACCCCUCAUUCAAACCCUUAGUUGUUUAGUCACUUGAUGACGAAAGACCCAUGAACAACAAAAUAGUUGAAAAGUGAAAACUUUAGUAGAAUUCAAGCAAGUCAAGCAUAAUAGAUUGACUCUCACCGCAGCGAAAAGGCAUUAUCACUGCAACAAAAUUCUGGCUAGAUAAAAUCUAAGGGGUUUUCACUACCACAAGGAAAAUCCACUCAUGCCACAUGGCACAUUAAAUUAAACACAUUGACAAUACUCAAGUUUCCUCAAUAUUUAGUGUAAUCACGUAUUAUUUUCAUAACCUUUUCAUAACAUUUGCAAAUAAUUUCAUAGCACAUAUAAUCAUCUCUAUGGCAUAUAUAUAUAUACAAACAUGCAUACGCGAACGGUCCUCAGCUCAUGUGCCCUCCCCCACCGCACAUAGCUGGGUCUAGACCAACGCCAAUCAUCAGCUCAUGUGCACCCCCACAUCUGUACAUGGCUGGAAUCCCCCACCGGUCCUCAGCUCAUGUUCACCCCCACAUCCACACAUAGCUGGAAUCACCAUCAUUAUAGGUAUGUGCCCUUCCCCACCGCACAUACUCGGUUAUAAUCACCACGCAAUAUUACUUAUCCAUACAUAUCAUAUAUCCAUAUAUAUAUGCAUCAACAUGACAUAGAUGCACAUGGAUUUAUCAUAUCGCACAUUUCACAACAUAAAAUGUUUUAUCAAGGGCUUGUUCCCAAGCAUUUUUUUUAGCAAAAACAAAUAAAAUUUUUAAAUGAUUCAUUAAAACAAGUAAACAUUUCCCUGAAACAUUUUGAAAUGCAAGUUCACUCACCUUACUAUCACGACCCAAAUUUUCAAGCCAUGACCGGCACAAGGGCCCAAUAAACGUAGUCUAUUAAGCCCAAGGAAGCCUAUCGAUUUAUCCUACUCAUCAUUCCAUCAAAUAUCGCUACGUCAUAUUUCAUACUUUUGAAUCAAAAUAGUGAUAUACAUUGCCAACUCGUACUGGCAUUACUCCUUAAAAAUUUACAUACAAUGUCUACAACAUGUAUUCUAAUAAUUUACAUUAAGUUUGUCUAUACAAAACAAAAUAACACUCGACUUNNNNNNNNNNNNNNNNNNNNNNNNNNNNNNNNNNNNNNNNNNNNNNNNNNNNNNNNNNNNNNNNNNNNNNNNNNNNNNNNNNNNNNNNNNNNNNNNNNNNNNNNNNNNNNNNNNNNNNNNNNNNNNNNNNNNNNNNNNNNNNNNNNNNNNNNNNNNNNNNNNNNNNNNNNNNNNNNNNNNNNNNNNNNNNNNNNNNNNNNNNNNNNNNNNNNNNNNNNNNNNNNNNNNNNNNNNNNNNNNNNNNNNNNNNNNNNNNNNNNNNNNNNNNNNNNNNNNNNNNNNNNNNNNNNNNNNNNNNNNNNNNNNNNNNNNNNNNNNNNNNNNNNNNNNNNNNNNNNNNNNNNNNNNNNNNNNNNNNNNNNNNNNNNNNNNNNNNNNNNNNNNNNNNNNNNNNNNNNNNNNNNNNNNNNNNNNNNNNNNNNNNNNNNNNNNNNNNNNNNNNNNNNNNNNNNNNNNNNNNNNNNNNNNNNNNNNNNNNNNNNNNNNNNNNNNNNNNNNNNNNNNNNNNNNNNNNNNNNNNNNNNNNNNNNNNNNNNNNNNNNNNNNNNNNNNNNNNNNNNNNNNNNNNNNNNNNNNNNNNNNNNNNNNNNNNNNNNNNNNNNNNNNNNNNNNNNNNNNNNNNNNNNNNNNNNNNNNNNNNNNNNNNNNNNNNNNNNNNNNNNNNNNNNNNNNNNNNNNNNNNNNNNNNNNNNNNNNNNNNNNNNNNNNNNNNNNNNNNNNNNNNNNNNNNNNNNNNNNNNNNNNNNNNNNNNNNNNNNNNNNNNNNNNNNNNNNNNNNNNNNNNNNNNNNNNNNNNNNNNNNNNNNNNNNNNNNNNNNNNNNNNNNNNNNNNNNNNNNNNNNNNNNNNNNNNNNNNNNNNNNNNNNNNNNNNNNNNNNNNNNNNNNNNNNNNNNNNNNNNNNNNNNNNNNNNNNNNNNNNNNNNNNNNNNNNNNNNNNNNNNNNNNNNNNNNNNNNNNNNNNNNNNNNNNNNNNNNNNNNNNNNNNNNNNNNNNNNNNNNNNNNNNNNNNNNNNNNNNNNNNNNNNNNNNNNNNNNNNNNNNNNNNNNNNNNNNNNNNNNNNNNNNNNNNNNNNNNNNNNNNNNNNNNNNNNNNNNNNNNNNNNNNNNNNNNNNNNNNNNNNNNNNNNNNNNNNNNNNNNNNNNNNNNNNNNNNNNNNNNNNNNNNNNNNNNNNNNNNNNNNNNNNNNNNNNNNNNCACAUAGCCGAGUCAAUAUAAUUACACAACAUUAUAUUCAAGCAUAUAUGUAUAUCAACAUAAUGCAGCCACAUAGAAAUCCAUAAUAACCACAUAUCAUAACAUAAAUCAUUUCUCAAGAGCUUGUUCCCAAGGAAUUCAUUUUCAUGAAAAAUCAUAUAAAAUCAUUUAAACAUUUGUCAAAUACAUUAUAUUCUCAAAAUAAGUUUUGAAGGCAGUCCACUCACCAAUUGAUUGUAAAGCCUUUAGAUGACUCCAAUUUCCCUAAUUGUCCAAUUGAGAUGUGGGGCUUCCUUAAAACCUAGGAUCACAUUAACAUAAACAAUAGAUCAAUUUACACACUAUGACCUCUAAAAGCUAUCUCUUAGCUAGUUUUCAAUUGCCACAUUAAACGGCUAUCUAUGUUCACUAUCUUAAUCACUAAAAAGUAAUGAACAUAGUCAACAAUAAAACAGCUCAUAAAUCCUAAUUACUAGCCAUUUUCUGCAGCUAAAAAUCGAGCUUAGUUCAUCACUUACCCUAGGGCUCCUUUAUAGUCAAAUUUUCUUCCAAUUGCUUCCAAAUCAAUGGAAUAAUUCUCUCUUUCUCUCUCUAGAACGCCCAACUAGUGAGAAAAAGUCUAGAAAUAAGCUUUAUCAAGGGUUUUGAAGUGAGAGGAUGAAAGAAUUCAAAGGUUCUAGUCAAAAGGGUUUAAAGGUGUGAAAAUUAGAGCUAGAGAGAGAAAAUCAUUCAAGCUUCAAAUCAAGCUUUCAUGGAGUUUUGAAGAAACGUGAGAGAGGAGAAGAAGAAGAAGACCAGCUGCUAGAAAAUCUCUAGAAGCUGUUGGAAAUUCAAGAUAUUUAUAGGCAAUCUUAUCCUUUCCCUUAAAAUUAUAAAAAUGCCCCUCCACCAAUUAACUUAUUCUCCUCCAAUCUUUUACGCAAACUUUUUGCUCUUUUAACACUGGGACAAGAUCCAUAAUGGUCUAGACAUGUUCGGGUCCAUAAAAACUUCAAAUUUUAACCUGAGGUGAAAAAUGACCAUUUUACCCCUGUUAUGAAAAUUGUUGAAUCUUCUAGUUUUCUUCAUGUUUUCAUCAGUACACAUCAUUUAUGCAGUGUCUUAUACCCAUUUAAGCCUUAAAAUAUCAUAAAACUUUCUUCUGGAAGCUUAUUAGAGAAAAUGAUGAAACUACCCCUGGCUCGUAUUAUUACAUCUAUACUUAGUUACAAGCCUUAGAGGUUGAGGUCUCACACUUACGAUAGCGGGAUAUUAUAUCGCUAUUUGUUCGAAGGUCUAUCUAGCUAUUCCUAUUUUUCGGUCACUCGUUAUUUCCCCUAACACACCACCACAGUACUCUAACUUUACCUUUGCACUUCCUAGCAACAAUACAAACUUAAUAUAUUUAAUUACAUACGUGUACGGGCAGCACUUCAAUCAAUUAAUCCUUAAUCUAAUUUCAUAUUUUUCAUCCUCGUCCUUCAUAAUAAUUUAACAUGCAAUCCACAUACAUGCAUCUAUUUUUUUCAAAUCUUAGGAUACCUUUGCUGCCUUAAAUAAUUUAAUAAAAGGUUCAACCGAUUGAGUCAAAUAAAAUGACCAUAUUUAUAAUUUCUUACCUUUUAAAUAAAACUCCCAGCUCCUUAACUCUAUUGUGGAUACUUAACUCUCCAGCGACCACUUUCCAUAAGCUUGGGUUGAAAAAGAAACGAACACGUAAGAAUCUUUUCCAAAUUGAGUUUACUAUUUACUACACAAUCAAGACAACGAUAUUCAACUGUUUAUUUUUAACUAUAAUAACUUAAAACUAAAACUCUUACCUUCACCAUGAAUUUCCUAAUUCCAAUAUCAAUGCUAAAGAGCUCAAAUCUCUUGGGAGAAAGCUUUAAAUAUAUGGGGUUUUUAAGGAAAAGGAUGAUAGAUCUAUUUUUCCUAAAAAAUGGUGGAAUACCCAACGUUGGUUGGUUGCUUGUUUCCAUUCCUUCCUUCUUGAAUCGAGUUCUUUGUGGAGGAUUUUGAGAAGCUCGGGUUUUUCACUUGGAAGGGAAAAAGAAUUAGAAAAAGUCUCGCAAAAGAAAUAUUUCCCUUCCUUCCCGUGAAUACCAAUGAAGUCAAGAUAGUCAUGGACUUUUUGCAUGCCAAGUGGCAACCAAUAUGGGCUGUUGGUAAUCCUUAUGAGCCAAGUGGCAGCCAAUACGGGCUACUGGUAGUGAGACCUUGACCUUUAUAGACUCGUAAAGGGAAGUAUACGUGACAUCCCAAAUCAGGGGUAAUUUCAUCAUUUCCUUAGUAAGCCCAUAAAAGUAAGAUUUUUAAACAAUAUUAUGGCCUAAGUAGGCCUAAGGCAUAAAUGGAUGGUGAAAUUAGGGGUAAAAUGGAAAGGAAACCAAAAUUUUCAUGAUUUUCACGGUAGAGGCAAAAUGGUCAUUUUUCACCUAGGGUUAAAAUUUUAAGUUUUCAUAAACCUGAGCAUGUCUAGACCAUUAUGGACCUUGUCCUAGUGUCAAAAGAGCAAAAAGAUUGCAUAAACGAUUAGAGGAGAAUAAGCUAAUUUGUGGAGUGGUAAUUUAGUAAUUUCAAGGGAAUAGAUAAAUAUGAGCUAUAAAUAUCUUGUUUCCAACAACUUCUUCUCCCAUUUUCCAGCACCUUUUUCUUCUUCUUCCUUCUUCUCUUUCACGUUGCUUCCAACCUCCAUGGAAGCUUGAUAUGGAGCUUGCAUAAUUUUUUCUCUCUAGCUCUAGUUUUCAUACCUUUGUGCCCUUUUGACUAGAACCCUUGUAUUCUUCCAUUCUCUCACUUCAAAACCCUUGAUAAAUCUUAUUCCCAUCUUUCUCUCACUAGUUGGGCAUUCUAGAGAGAGAAAGAGAGAAUUACCCCAUUUAUUUGGAAGCUAUUGGAAGAGAAUUCGACUACAAAGGAACCUAGGGUGAGUGAUGAACUAAGCUGGAUUUUUAGCUAUGAAUAAUGGCUAGUAAUUGGGAUUAUGAGCUGUUUUAUUGUUGAGUAUGUUCAUUCCUUUUAUAGUGAUUAAGAUAGUGAACAUAGAUAGCCACUUAAUGUGGCAAUUGAAAGCUAGCUAAGAGAUAGCUUUUAGGGUUUAUAGUGUGUGAAUUGACCUAUUGUUUAUGCUAAUGUGAUUCUAGGUUCUAACGAAGCCUUAUCAUCCUAAUUGGAUCAUUAGGGGAAUUAGAGUCAGUUAAAGGCUCAACAAUAUACCGAUGAGUGAACAGUAUUCAAAACUUGUUUUGGGGAUAUAAUGUAUUUGCCAAACAUUUGAAUGGAUUAUCUAGCUUUUCAGAAAAACAAGUGCCUUGGGAACAAGCCUUUGAUAAAUCAAUUUUAUGUUAUGACAUGUGGUUAUCAUGGAUCUCUAUGCUGCUGCAUUAUGUUGAUAUACAUAUAUGUUUGAAUAUAGUGUUGUGUAAUUAUAUUGACUCGGCUAUGUGCGAGUAGGGAGUGCGCAUAACCCGGUGAUGACCCAGCCAUGUGCGAGUAGCAAGUGUGCAUGAGCUGGUGAUGAUGAUGAUGUGAUGGUGUGCAUGAUGAUGAUGGGUAUACGUAUACAUAUAUACAUAUGUAAAUAUGUGUGUUAUAGGAAAUUAAUGAGUAAUGGUAUAUGGUUGUAAUGCAUGUGAAACUUGACAUGUUAAACUUUGGAAAUCUAUUAUGCGUUUCAUGUUGGUUUGGACAUUUCAGCAAGGUGAUUUUUCUUUGGGAAGAAUGGGAAAUUUUUCAUUGGUGCCCUGUUUCUCACUGCAGUGAGAAUCAUUUUCGCUGCAGCCAGAAACUCUCGGGUUUGGAGGGGUUGACUGGCCGAAAACUCGCUACAGUGAGAAUGCAUUUUCGCUGUAGCGAGAAUGACACUGUAGUUUCUCGCUACAGCGAAAUUCAUUCUAGUUACAGCGAGAAACUUUCUGUUUCUAGGUCACAAUUUCGCUGCAGCGAGAUUCAAUUUCGCUGCAGCGAGAUUCAGCGAAAAACUUUCUAUUUUGUCUUCUAUCUUGUCUAAUUGCUACCCUAUUUUUCACUUCUUUGCUACCAUAUAUGAGCAUGGACUUCUAACAUUAAAGACUAAAUGAGUUAAGUUUAAAAUGAGGAGGUUUAGUGAGAAACCCUUAUUCGGCUAAUAACUUAAUCCCAACGUCGCUGCAGCGAAGAUUCGUUGUCGUAUUUGACUUGCUUGCGUAUCAUUGAAGCUUUCAUUCUUCAAAUGAUUCGUUAUGUAUGGGUUCAUGAUUUUCAAAUGAUUAAUCAUUUAAGGGCUUGAUGAGGGGUUUUUAAUAUGAAUGGAACUAAAUUGCAUUGUUUUGAAACAAGUGCAACAUGAUUUUAAAUUCUCCCUUGUUGUUGCUUGUUCCCUUCCUUGUUCACUCACUGGGUUUAUACUCACCAUUUUCAACUUCAUGUUUUCAGAUCACGAGGCAGCCGGUAACUAGGGCGAGGUGUCCUUGUAGACUUGUAUCCAUGUUUUGGUAGGUGUCUCGACAUUCAAUAGUUGUACAUUCGUUCGAGUCCCUCCGCUGGAAGUCGAGUAUUCUUUUAUUGUGUAUAGACAAACUUAAUGUAGACUAUUAAGAUACAUAUUGUAGACAAUGUAUAUAUACUUGUUUGGUAUGCCAGUAUGAGUUGGCAAAAGUUUAAUAUUAUUUUGACCCUAAGUUAUGAAAUGUGACUUAGGAGUUUAUGAUGGAAUGAUGAACAUGUCAGAUUUAUAGGCUUGCUUCGGCUUAGUGCCUUAAUCCAUUGGGCCCAUGCGCUAGUCAUGGCCAAGAAUUUGGGUCGUGACACUGGUAAUUCCCAAGAAGCAUGAAAAAAAAUGCAACCUUUUUCAUGAAAAAAAAAAUGUUGUUGGUUCCUAGGUGGUUUAAAUAAAAUAUUAACCUUUGUACGCAAUUUCUCUUCUUUUGACUUUUCCUUCAUCUUUAUCUUUUCUUUUCCCCUCAUUUUCUUUGUCAUGGACGGCUUGUCCAUGAAUUCAUGACUUUUGAGUUAUCUUCUCCACCCAUUUUAUGUGUUAAAAUCACAUGACAGAGGCUUUAUCACCUUCCACCCACCACUCACAUUUUUAUUCUUUAUAUUAUUUUUACUUUAUGGUUUAUUUAUUCAUUCCUUGUCCCAUUCAAACUAUAUGUACAUCUCAUAUUACUCAUAACCUAGCCUUCCUUAAUUAGGAAAUUCCCUUUUUUAACUUCAAAUAUCAAAAUUGCAAAUGAGUCUUUAAACUUUUUCGUAUUUACCAUGUGACUACUCCAACUUCCAUAUUUUACAAUUGGUUCCUUCCAAAAUUUCUUAGACUCCAAUUUCCUUCUAUUACCUUUUUCUAUACAUGUACAAAUGAAGUAUAAAGUUUGUACUCUAACGUGGUGUCUCCAUAAUAUUUAAAAUAUUUAUUUACCAUUCUAUCUUUACUUAAUAAAGACACGCGGCCCCAAUAACGUCAUUUUUCUCCAAAAUUUUCUCAUUCUUCUUUUUCCCCAUUUAGAUUGACCAUAUACUCCUUCUUCAUGGAAAAUUUGGACACUGAAUAAAAUAUUAAUAUUUUAAUAUUUUUUUUAAUAAAAUAUUAUUUAUUUCAAAAAUUUUCUGUUGCCUCUUCUCAUCUCCUUGGUACCCAAAAUACCUUAUUAUGCCUCAAUUCACUUUCGAAUCCCUUUUUAUCUCGUAAAUUCUUCCUCAAUAAAAAUAUUAUUAUUUUAUUAUUGUUUCUUCACGUGCAGAAUCUUUUAUCCCAAACUAUUCCUUUCAUCAUUUAUUACUUUUAAACAUUAUAAUUCACCUCAAUUGGCAUCUUAUAAGCUUUAUUAGUCACCAUAUCAAAGUACGAGGUAUUACAAUAUCUUUGGGUCAAAGCCAUUAAUACUUCAUGCUACAUUAUAAAUAGGGUAACGGUUAGAUCAAUGCUAAAGAAGACACAGUAUAAGCUUUACAAAGGCAAGAAACCUAAUAUUGCUUAUGUUUUAAAUAGUGGUAAAGACAAUUUAGGAAAAUUUGAUGUUAAAAGUGAUGAAGGAAUUUUUCUAGUAUAUUCUUUAAACUCUAAAAGCUUAUAAAGUAUUUAAUAAGAGAACACUAGUGGUUAAAGAGUCAAUACAUGUGUUUUUGGAUGAUUCUAACCCUCUUCCUAGAAAGAAAGAUUAUGAUGAUGAUGUAAAAUAUCCUUUAAAGCAAAUUGAUGAUAUUGAUCUCAACAAAGAAAGUGAAAUGGUACCACAAGAAGAAGAGCAACUACCCCAUGGUGAAAAAGGAAAUUGAUGAAAGUAAAAUCAUUUGUGAUCCCACUCAAGGGCUAAGGAUAAGUGCAAGAGCCAAACAUGUUUGCGAGUUUGUUGCCCUCAUUUCUCAAAUAGAGCCUCAGAAUAUUGAUGAUGUUUUGAAUGAUGAACAUUGGAUUUUAGCAAUGCAAGAGGAACAAAAUCAAUUUGAGAGAAGUAAGGUAUAGGAAUUAGUACCCAAACCACAUGAUUAUCCCAUUGUAGGAACUAAAUGGGUGUUUAGAAAUAAGAUGGAUGAACAUGGAAAUGUAACUAGAUAUAAAGCUAAAUUAGUGGAUAAGAGAUAUAGUCAAGAGGAAGUUAUAGACUAUGAUGAAACAUAUGCACCCAUACCUAGGUUAGAGGCCAUUAGGAUGUUGUUAGCAUUUGCAUGUUACAUGAACUUCAAAUUAUUUCAAAUGGAUAUCAAAAGUACUUUCUUAAAUAGGAAAAUUAAUGAAGAAGUGUAUGUAAAGCAACCACUUGGAUUUGAAAGUCCAACUUUUCCAAACAAUGUAUUUAAAUUUAAAAAUGCCUUGCACGAUCUAAAACAAACACUUAGGGCAGGGUAUGAGACAUUUUCAAAUUUUCUAAUAAACAAAGACUUUCAUAGAAGUAAAGUUGAUAAGACACUUUUCAUUAAAAGAAAAGGCAUAAAUAUCUUAAUAGUACAAAUAUAUGUUGAUAAUAUAAUUUUUGGUGCUACUAAUGAAUCUCUUUGUCAAGAAUUUGCAAGAGUAACGUAGGGAGAAUUUGAAAUAAGUAUGAUGGGUGAGCUAAAUUACUUCUUAGGAUUGCAAAUGAAACAAAAAGAAGAUGCUACAUUUAUCAACCAAGCCAAUCACACUAAUGACAUGCUCAAGAAGUUUGAAAUGGUGGAAACUAGAUGCUACUCAACUUUAAUGGCCACAUCUACCAAGCUAGACAUUGAUGAGCCAGGUACACCUAUUAACCCUAAACUAUAUAGAUCAAUGAUAGGUUUGCUUUAUCUUAUCGUUAGUAGACCCAACAUAAGCUUUAGUGUAAGGUUGUGUGCUAGGUUUCAAUCAUCACUUAAGGAGUCUCACUUAAGUGAUGUGAAGAGAAUAUUUAGAUACCUUCAUAACACUCAUAACUUAGGUUUAUGAUACCUAAAGAACUCAUCCUUUAACUUACACUCUUACUCAGAUGCUGAUUUUGGAGGAUGUAAAAUAGAUAGAAGAGCACAUCUAGCACUUGUCAAUUCUUAGGAAAAAUGAUAAUAUCAUGGUUUUCCAAGAAGCAAAACAAUGUAGCCCAAUCCACAAUUGAAGCCAAAUAUGUAGUAGUCGAUAGUUGUUGUGCUCAAAUUCUUUGGAUGAAACAACAAUUAGAGGACUAUUGUCACGACCCAAUUUCCCAGGCCAUGACCGACGCAUGAGCUCAAUGAGCAUAGCUCACUAAGCCUAAGCAAGCCUAUCCAUUUACCUUUGAUUAACAAAUUUAUCAUAUCAUGCAUACACACACACCUUUUUUUCGGGUGUGAACAUAGCCAAAACACAAUGGCAUUAUCGAUAAUAAUAUACAUGCACUAUACCAGUCAUGUAUUUAGCAAUUUACAUUGCAUACACAUAUUCACAUUGUUAGAUUGUAUUCACAAUACAAAAUGACCCAUGACUUCCAGCGAAGACAUUUAUAAUAAAAGGAAUUACUAUCGAAUGCCAAACAUAUACCCAGGAGAUGCACUACGGGGACUCCUCGAUCUAGGGUCCAACAGUCACCUGAUCUGAAAAUAUGAAUUUUUAUAAAACGUGAGUAUAAUACUCAGUGAGUGAAUAUUAGAAGGGAACAAUCAAUCUCAACUAGGAAAUUUGACAAUCCUGAUGCAUCGGUUGAAAAUAAGGCCAUUUUCAUCUAACUACUAUUCCAAACCCUUUUUCCCUUAAAACAAGCCAUCCUGCUAAAAUAACAAUAGCAACAUAUAACACAUGUAAACUUCCAAAUUUCAACAAAACAAAUGCUUACAUAUUUGCAUUUACAACCAUAUACCCAUCAUCAACAUGCACACCAUCCCAUCAUCAUCAUCAUGCACAUCAUCCCAUCAUCAUCAUCUCAUAUGCAACGGCUUAUGCUAUUGUCACUAGGGGGUGGGAGAUCACGAAGCAUCCCCCCCUUCACUCGGCAAGAGGUGCACUUCACUCCGGAUCACGAAGCAACGGAGNNNNNNNNNNNNNNNNNNNNNNNNNNNNNNNNNNNNNNNNNNNNNNNNNNNNNNNNNNNNNNNNNNNNNNNNNNNNNNNNNNNNNNNNNNNNNNNNNNNNNNNNNNNNNNNNNNNNNNNNNNNNNNNNNNNNNNNNNNNNNNNNNNNNNNNNNNNNNNNNNNNNNNNNNNNNNNNNNNNNNNNNNNNNNNNNNNNNNNNNNNNNNNNNNNNNNNNNNNNNNNNNNNNNNNNNNNNNNNNNNNNNNNNNNNNNNNNNNNNNNNNNNNNNNNNNNNNNNNNNNNNNNNNNNNNNNNNNNNNNNNNNNNNNNNNNNNNNNNNNNNNNNNNNNNNNNNNNNNNNNNNNNNNNNNNNNNNNNNNNNNNNNNNNNNNNNNNNNNNNNNNNNNNNNNNNNNNNNNNNNNNNNNNNNNNNNNNNNNNNNNNNNNNNNNNNNNNNNNNNNNNNNNNNNNNNNNNNNNNNNNNNNNNNNNNNNNNNNNNNNNNNNNNNNNNNNNNNNNNNNNNNNNNNNNNNNNNNNNNNNNNNNNNNNNNNNNNNNNNNNNNNNNNNNNNNNNNNNNNNNNNNNNNNNNNNNNNNNNNNNNNNNNNNNNNNNNNNNNNNNNNNNNNNNNNNNNNNNNNNNNNNNNNNNNNNNNNNNNNNNNNNNNNNNNNNNNNNNNNNNNNNNNNNNNNNNNNNNNNNNNNNNNNNNNNNNNNNNNNNNNNNNNNNNNNNNNNNNNNNNNNNNNNNNNNNNNNNNNNNNNNNNNNNNNNNNNNNNNNNNNNNNNNNNNNNNNNNNNNNNNNNNNNNNNNNNNNNNNNNNNNNNNNNNNNNNNNNNNNNNNNNNNNNNNNNNNNNNNNNNNNNNNNNNNNNNNNNNNNNNNNNNNNNNNNNNNNNNNNNNNNNNNNNNNNNNNNNNNNNNNNNNNNNNNNNNNNNNNNNNNNNNNNNNNNNNNNNNNNNNNNNNNNNNNNNNNNNNNNNNNNNNNNNNNNNNNNNNNNNNNNNNNNNNNNNNNNNNNNNNNNNNNNNNNNNNNNNNNNNNNNNNNNNNNNNNNNNNNNNNNNNNNNNNNNNNNNNNNNNNNNNNNNNNNNNNNNNNNNNNNNNNNNNNNNNNNNNNNNNNNNNNNNNNNNNNNNNNNNNNNNNNNNNNNNNNNNNNNNNNNNNNNNNNNNNNNNNNNNNNNNNNNNNNNNNNNNNNNNNNNNNNNNNNNNNNNNNNNNNNNNNNNNNNNNNNNNNNNNNNNNNNNNNNNNNNNNNNNNNNNNNNNNNNNNNNNNNNNNNNNNNNNNNNNNNNNNNNNNNNNNNNNNNNNNNNNNNNNNNNNNNNNNNNNNNNNNNNNNNNNNNNNNNNNNNNNNNNNUUUCAACCUCAAAUAACACUAAUAUUGAUCAAUAUUAACCAAAUGGAGCACAAAAAUCAUUUUAUAAAAAUUCUCGUAUAGUCCUCUAGUGGCAAAAUUACCAUUUUGCCCUUGUACUCCAAAAAUACCGAGAAUCAAAAUUUUUCACUGCUAAACAUCAUUUUAUACUCCAAUAAUCAUAAUUAUAUUUCAUAUAAUUAUUCUUGGUCAAAUGUGAUCAAAUCUUAGCUAUAAAUCUCCAUUUUAUCAUCACAUGGUAAAUUAACCGUUUUGCCCCUAAUCGGUCAAUUUUCCUGAUGGACUCCAAACUGGACCUUGAACUCUGAAUCACUACUCUAAGCCAUUCUGUGGGUUUCAAAAUUUUCAAAUUCCUCUUAAAAUUUCUAUUUGAACUAGUUCAAGGCUCGAUUUAACUUAGUUGUACCACUCGGUACAAUACCGUCUUUUAAUCGAGCUUGACAGGGUCUCACAACUAUGGGUUAUCAAUGGAAAAGAUUCCCAUUAAAUGUGACAUUACUAGUGCUAGCAGUCUCAUCAAAAAUCCAUUCAUCAUUCUAAACAAAGCACACUGAAAUAAGACAUCACUUCAUUAGAGAUCAUGUACAAAAAAAGAUGUAGUCUUAAAAUAUGUAAGCACUCAAGAUCAACUAGCUAAUAUUUUUACUAAGCACUUAAAUAUAAAUGCCUUUUUUCAAGAUUAGAGGAGCAUUAGGUAUUAUGAAUAUGCCAUGACUAGUUGAUAAAUCUAUGUUAAUGUACAUAGGUAGUAGUAUUUUGUUUUAUUGAAUCUCUUAUUGUUGAUUGACUAUUCUUGUUCAUAUUGUGUAUAUAACUAUGAUUGGUUUUUUUUUACUCAUGCCUAUAUUUAUGUGUAUACUUAUGUGUGACAUCUUUGACUUGCUUUUGAUAUGUUGACAUAUUCCAUAAUGUCUUGAUUGAAUGUCUUACAUGGAAAUAUAUCUUGUUUGAAAAUAUCUAUAUGUGCUUUAAUUACAAUGGUUGAAUAUAUUUCUUCAUACUUUAAAUUAAAUAUCUUGACAAGAAAUAUGUUAUGAUCUUUGGAUGUGCUACAUGAGUAUACUUCCUUCCUGCUUUACUUGAAUAUCUAUUGAUUGGGAAUACAUCUUGAUUUAAUGCUAUCAUAUCAUGAUGAUUGGAUAUAUUUCUUGAUCUAUUAUUUGAAUAUUUGAUCUCAACAUGUCGACAAAUCGGUCACACACGCAACACAUGUCCCAUAUGAAGGACAAUGUCUGAGAAUGUUAGGUGUCUUGUAGACGAAGACAGUGGCUCCACCUAACUAAAUGUCUGAGCCAUCUUCAUUACAUUUCUUAGUUCUAGAGCAGCUUUGUCUAGAACAAGUGAAAAUGUGUAAUCAGAAAGGAAUCAUAUGCCAUGUAGUUUGUUACAUGCAUAUUUUCUGUUUGUUAUGUAGUAAUUGGCUGACAUGAUUUGCCAUAUGCUUGUUAAUCUAGUUUCUCAUUGCAACUAAAUCCCUUUGCUUACAAGGAAUAUUAAAGCAAGGGCAAUAGGAGAGACAGAGUUAGAUAUUUAUUCUCAAUGAUGUUAACCCAAGCUAGCUUCAAAACUUUUAAACAAUUGUUACAAGCCAUGCCUAUGUAGGCAAUAUUUUAUGUUUACAUGCCAUGCCUAAAAACUCAAGUCAAUCUAAUUCGUUGAUACAAGCCAUGCCAACAGAUAGAGUUAGGACACGUUAGGCGUAAAUAGAAACUGUUAUAACUUGCCAUGAUAUAAUGGUCGUGUUUCAAGAUUGAAGCAUUGGUUAUUUAUUCUUCCCUUUUGAUUCAUGAAACUAAGAAAAGGUUCCACAAAAAUUUUGAUACCAACUAUCAAGUGACAAUAUGUUGGUAGGUAAACUAAAGAUUGAAGAUCAACAAAAUUCAUGAAGAGUGAGCAAAGAAUGAAAUCAGGUGAGUUCCAAACCUAUGAAUUGUCAUAUUUGAAGGCUUAUUCCUCUUUUGCUUUAAAAUGAUUUAUUUCGUUUGGCUUUUCAAAUUAGUUGGUUUUUUAUUGACCACGUUUGACUAUUUAUUUUAUGAUUUGACUUUAGGAACUUAUAAUUGCGAUAAAUGUUAUGCCACUUGUUUGUUAUUCAUAGAAAAGAUGCCUGUUUCUGUUAUUGAUUGCUUACACAAGUGCACGUAUCGUUAACAAGUAAUAUAGUAAUGAAUAGAGUAUUGUUCCCACGGAGAAUUGUUUAAUUCCUACUGUUAACUACUAAAAUUAUAACACCCUAAUUUUAUCCAAACAAUUAAAAUAAAAAAGAAAAAUUGAAACUAAUAAACUAAAACUAAAAUUAAACAGUAAAUAAAACUCAACUAACUACCAGACCUAAGAUUAUAAUAUCCCUCAAUACUUCAUCUGAUUAUUGUCUUUCUCUCUUAACUCAAUUUAAUGGAAUAAGUUGCUAACCUAAAGUCCUAAAUUAUUAACAAGUCUCUGUCGAGUUUCUCAUAAAAAUACCUCUCCUAAUUAAUUUACUAUAUGCUUAUGCAAGUUAAAUUGAAGAAAGAUUUAUUAAGUUUGUGCUCUAAUCUUAACUACGUAUGGCUUAUAGGUCUAUGUCUACCUUAUAUGCAAAUUAAACCACCUAAUCAUUUAAGUGUAUUCGAUCAUACGCUAUUCUAUUCAAGGUUUACCUAAAUCUCCUUCGUCAAGGUUUAACCUAGGUUUCCAAUUCAAUCUAAUUGGUGAUCAGGUAACAAGAAGCAUUAAGAACAGAAGAGAAUAAACAACCUAAAUCAAUCAGACAUAAUCAAAAGAGAGAUAGAUAAUUCAGACUACAUAAUGAGUUCAAUCAUAAUCUUAGAUUAACAAUUUAGUUUCCCAUCAAGUCACGCAUCAUCAUUGAAUAAAGUUUAAACAAUAAAAACAAACUAAGAAAACAAAAGAAUAAUAAAAAAAAUAAACUCAAGAAUUAUAAUCUUGAUCUUUCAAGUCUUCUUGAAUCCUUCAAAAUCUUCUCAGCUUCAAUGACUUUGCGACUUGACUCUCAACUUCCAAUCUGGUGUUU
RNAcentral lists this long non-coding RNA (70139 nucleotides) under Theobroma cacao (cacao). RNAcentral describes it as "long non-coding RNA (TCAC_LNC000960)". The stretch from base 30720 to 30826 matches the Rfam family "Plant small nucleolar RNA R71". The record is from RNAcentral. Lineage: Eukaryota; Viridiplantae; Streptophyta; Magnoliopsida; Malvales; Malvaceae.